This 50311-nucleotide long non-coding RNA is filed under the name Capsicum annuum. RNAcentral describes it as "long non-coding RNA (CANN_LNC006533)". The stretch from base 7951 to 8056 matches the Rfam family "Plant small nucleolar RNA R71". Lineage: Eukaryota; Viridiplantae; Streptophyta; Magnoliopsida; Solanales; Solanaceae. The record is from RNAcentral.
CAACAACCAGCCCACCAUCCCAUUGACCGACCCGGGCUAGCUCCCAUUCCCUUUUCCCCUUAACAGCAAACAACAGCGAACAACAAUAUUCAACGAUAAAGUUCCUUUUCUAUAACAGCGAUAUCAACGCUGCACAACAGCAACAAUUUCAACGCACCAAAAAUCAACAACAACCGACAACCGACAACGACAGUAGCAACCCAUACUAGCCACAUCAAUAACACCCACAAUUUCAACGCAACAACAGUAAAGCAAUUUUGAGAUUCAAAUCUCAAUUGGUAUUCCCUCUUUACCCCUCCCUCCCCCCCCCCCCCCCCCCCCCCAACCGCACAACCACCACCCAAACACCAUGUAGAAUGAAGGGAGAAGGGGAUUCUUUGAGGAAAAAUUGAGGAUUUGGGGGAGCAUUUCUCUAAUUCCACAUAACCGAAGAAUUUGAAAACUUAACUCGAAAAGUUCGACGAACUUGUUUGAACACGAUUGAGUUGAAUUAGAUUUUGGUGGUGGAAGCUUCAUCGUGAUAGACUCGUAGUCCCGGUUCCUGCCCCGAAAAAGGUGAGAGUCUGCCCCUUUUAAAUUUUGAGUUUUCAUCUCUUUGUUGUUGUUUUUUUUUAUCCCGUUUGGUUUUGUGAAUAUGUGAAUUUAUUUUAUUCUUAAAUUCGUGGUUGUUGUUGUUUCCCGUUACCUUUAGGCAUUGAAAAAUAAAAAUUCUAAUUUUGUGAAUCUAUCUUAUAGUUGAACAUGUAAAUUAACAAAUGAAUAUGUGAUCUUUUGGGUUUCGAAUCGGCUAUAGUGGUUUGUUUAUCAAGUUCCGUGGAUAUGGUUCCGUUUGAAACCUAUAUUGAUUUAAUACGUAUGGUUGAUUUCUCUGUUUUAUUUAUCAUCAAAAUAUAAGCCUGUGAAUCAUGGGAAAAGUAUGCCGCCUCCCCGAAUUCCACUUUUUAAUAAACUCCUUUUGUGCUCUUUUGUUAUUGUUGUGAUUUUAAUUUUAGAAGAGGUGUGUGAAAUCGUCCUGUCUCAUCUCGUACAACUAUUUUGAGUGGUUGUUUUGUGUAAAUAUAUUAUGUACGUGGUUAUGGUUCUAGUUCAUUAUUCAAGAGACACAGAAGAUAAGGGGUUGCUUUGGAUUCCUUUUGAUAUCAAUAAGUUUGUUUGAAAAAAAAGGUAUGUAUGUAUAUAUAUAUACACCUUAAAUGACUAGAUUUGAUGUAUAUAAAUAUGGAUGCAUGUGUCCUGGAUUGGCAGUGCUUCUUAACAUUUUGGCCAACUUGAAUGGCCUCGCAAGUAAUCACUGUGUUUACCUUGGUGUGGAGUUCUUAAAGUUUUAUUCUAUCUACGUAUGUGUUCAUUGAUAAGGGUCUAAUAUAAUUUUUUUUUUUCUCUCAGCUAGAUUGAAAUCAUUAGAAAUUUGGUAGUUUAGAUUGAAAUUAUUAGAAAUCUAAUAGUUUACUUAUUUAUUAUGCGCACAUACAUUUGAAAUAUGGAAUAGCUGUUGAGUUGCAAGUGACGUGUCACAUGGGAUAGUUGUUGAGAUGUACAGAGCCCCUUUGUCCCUUUGUUUCUUAUAACUCAAUUGAGAGUAGCCUAGUUAAAUCAUGUCACAUGGUAAUGUGAUGGACUAGCAACUUAAUCAUUUUAUUUGUAUUGAUGCUUUAGUUAGUUUAUGACACAAUGUGCUCGACUUUUGAAUUGUUCUAGUUUGAAGCCGUAUUAAUUACUUGAAUCUCGUACAUUUUUUUGGAGUUAUCUUCAGUAAUACCCUUGAACCAUAUUUCAUUAUUUCAAUCCAUUUAAACUUCAUAGUAUUCAAUUUCCUUAUGCGUUGUUCAACUCCUUUGGUUACGAAUUGUACUUUGUAGUUCAUUUACUCUAUUCAAAUUUGAUUUUUAAUUCGUAUCUUCUCUUUGAUGCAUGUGACAUGAAUCCGAGUCUAUUGGACUCCAUUUUCCUCGCAUAUUCUGAUAUGCCAAGGAGGCCUAUGCUGUAUCAAGUCAAGCCUCUACCAAAGUCCAAAACUGGACUGAUAUACAUGAGAUAUACACUUAGAUACAGCUGGUGUACACUGGAAAGCAGCUGAUAACGGCGUAUAUUAAAAGUGGAAGCGAGCAUACAAGGUUUAUACUCAGAUAUACAGUGCGUAUACAAAAACUCAGCAGCAAUAGGGCUGAUAUACAAGUCAGUAUACAGCUGAUAUACACUUCAGAAAAAUGGACUGAAGUCCAUAAUUCAAGCCCAAAACUGGGCAGCUUCAUUAAUGGGCCAAUUGAGGGCCUAAUUUUAGUUCUUGCAUUAUUUUUUGUAGCUUGUAUUGUUUAUUUGUGCUAACUAACAUUUAAAUUAAUUAAUCUAGAUAAAUUUUCUAAGGUAUUGCUGUUUUAUUUUAUCUUUUUUAAAAAAAAAAUUAAUCCAUGACCUUUUCACCUAAUUUAUAUUGUUUAAAGACGGAUUAAAUUGUUUCCUUCAAUUUUCUCCUUAACACAAGUUUUAAAAGUGAACAGUUUAUUUCAAAAUGACAUUCGUUAUGUUCAUGUAACUAAAUAGUCUAUUCGAAUUAAAAUAACUUUCUUUAAACUCAAGAAACUAAAUUUUCUUGUAAAUUUUUAAUUUUUCAUAAUUAAUAAGAGUUUUUAAUUUAAUACUCUCUUAAUAUUUUUCUAAAGGUAUUUCGUACAACCUAAUCAACUUUUCUAUAAUGAUUAAUAAUAAGUAAAUAAUUUCAUAAUCUUCUUUUACAAAAGUAAAAUCAUUUCCCUCUUAAGUCCGAAAAGUUACAAUCAACUUUUCUAUAACGAUUAAUAAUAAGUAAAUAAUUUCAUAAUCUUCCUCUUUUACAAAAGUAAAAUCAUUUCCCUCUUAAGUUCGAAAAGUUACAAUUUAGUUCAAUUCAAAUAAUUUAUUUUCUCCUUUGAAUAAAUAAAUGUCAUAUUUAAAUGUUAAAUAAAUAAUCUUAUUAUUUUCUAUAAAAUCAAGUGUUUACAAAAUUAACCUUUUGCAAAAUUAGCCACUUAGUUAGUUAGUUCUUACUUGGUACACCGUUUUAAACGGAUGCUCUUAAGUGACUUAAAAAUCUUCUUAGGGCGUUAAUUGAACCCUUAACCAGAAUCUCUAGUUUUAAAGGUUUAUUUCUACUUUUGAACCUUUGAAACUCAUUUAAGUUAAUCAAGUGGCGACUCUGUAAUUUUUUUUUAAAAUUAUUUUAAAAUUUUUUCAACUCUUUUUUAAAUAGUUUUAAAAAGGUAUAAACCAUUUUUCUCGCCAAAAUGAAAUCCGAAAAGGGAUAGAACAAUGAUGAUUGUUGCUCAAAAUGCCCUUCAAAACAUAAUUUUAACCUGUGAUCAUUUACUUUAAAUUUAUUUUCAUCAUUGAUCUGCUAUAUUUUAAUUUUUUCAUAUGAAGUAACAUCUGUAAUAUUUUAAGGACCUGUCCACCUAGACUUCAAUUUUUCUGAAAAUAACCUUAAUCUGCUAUUGUAAAGAAGAACUGGAUCUCCAAUUUUGAAAUUUUUUUUUAUUUGUUUGUCCUGUUAUUUUUUUGUUUUGUCUUUCAAAAUUUUAACAUUUUCAUAAGCUUUCAAUUUCAAUUCUUCCAACUCAUUUGAGAAAAUUUGUUUUUACCAAUAGAGUCAACAUCAAAGUUCAAUACUUUUAAUAUCCAAAAAAUUUUGUGUUCUAAUUCAACAGGAAGAUGACAAGCUUUUUCAAAAAUUAGUUUAUAUAGGGUAGUAUCAACUGACGUUUUAAAUGUUAUUCGAUAAGUCCAUAAUGCAUCGUCUAGUUCUAAAGACAAUCUUUUCUUGAGAUUUCAAUCAUUUUUUCAAGUAUUCUUUUAACUCACGAUUGAAAACUUCAUUAUGCCCUUGAGUUUGAGCAUGAUAUGAUAUUUUUGUUUUAUGAGUCACAUCAUAUUUUGAUAAUGAUACAGAAAAUUGUCUAUUCAUGAAGUGAGUUUCUUGAUAAUUUGAUGAUGACUCACGGUGUGUCGAAUCUGAUAAACAUAUUUUUCUAAGAAAAUUACACACAGUUCGAGCAUUAUUUUUCUUGAUGAAAAUGGCUUCAACCUAUCCUGAGACAUAAUCCACAACCACAAGAAUAUAUUAAAAAAAUGAGAUGAGGAAAAAGGACUCAUAAAAUUUAUUUUUCAGACAUCAAUAAUUUCACACACAUGUAUACAUUGUAAUUAUAUUUCGUCUCUUUUGGUGAUAUUAUCUGUUCUUUGACAUUUAUCACAUCGUGCGACGUAUUCGUGUGCAUCGUUAAAAAGUAUUGGCCAGAAAAAUUCUACUUUCAAAACUUUAAAAGCAGUUUGAUUAGCUGCAUAAUGCCCUCUAAUUACUCCAUCAUGACAAUGAUAAAAUAUUUUAUUCAUAUCUUUUUCAGGUACACAUCUUCUAAUGAUGUUAUCUGCACAAAAUCUAAACAAAUAAGAUUUAUUCCACAUACAAUAUUCAUCAUGAAAGAUAACUUUUUUUUUUGUUGAUAAAAAAAAUUCUUUGAUAUUCAUUUUUUAAUUAAGUAAUUUAUCUGCAAGUCGGGGUGGUUGAAUUACAAUUGAAUUAACAAGUAGAAUGCUUUCAUCAGAAAACUCUUCUUUUGUUUCACAAGAUUCAAGAGGAGGAUUUUUUAACCUUGAUAAAUGAUUAGCUAUCUGAUUCUCUCUCUCUCUUUUUUUUUUUUUUUAUCAUUUAUUUUCAGGUCAAAUUCUUGAAGAAGUGAAAUUCAUCUUAAUAAUUUAGGACCAACAUUUUUUUUGUCAAGAGGUUCUUUAAAGUUGCAUGAUCAGUAAAAAUAAUGACCUUAAUUUCUAUUAAAUAGGAACGAAAUUUAUCAAAUAUAAAUAUUAUUGUCAUUAAUUUUUUUCUGUUAUGGCAUGAUUUGAUUGAGCCUCGUUCAACGUUCUACUGCAUAGUGAUGAGACAAAAAAAUUUAUCCUUCCUCUGGCCUAACACAACUCUGACGAUCAUAUCAUUAACAUCACAUAUGACCUCAAAAGAUUGAUUUCAACUAGGAGACACAAUUAUAGACGCAGUUAAUGAUUUCUCUUUAAGAGUUUCAAAUGCCUUCAAGCAACACUUGAAAAAUCAAACUUGACUUCUUUCAUUAAAUAAUUAAUUAAAGGUCUUAAAAUUUUUGAAAAGUCUUUUAUGAAUCUUAUGUAAAAAUCUACAUCACCAAGAAAACUUAUAAUACCUUUUAAUGGUUAUAAAAGGAAAUAAUCCUACUAUGAUAUUAAUUUUUGCCUUGUUAACUUCUAUUUUUUAAGUGAAGAUUUAUGCCCUAAGAUAAUUUCUUUUAUUAUUAUAACAUGAUAUUUUUUCAGUUAAAAAUUGAGUUUAUCUCUUCUCAUCUUUUAAAAACUAAGGUUAAAUAGUGAAGACAAUUUUCAAAUGUCAUGCUAAAGAAUGUGAAGUCAUUCAUAAAAAUCUCAAAAAAAAAGUAACAGUUAUGUCAAAAAAAAAAAAAUUUGCUGACAUGCAACAUUAAAAUAUAGUAGAAAAAUUACAUAGACUAAAUAACAUCCUUCUAUAUGCAUAUAUUUUAUGAGGACAUGUAAAAAUUAUCUUAUCUUGAUCUUCAGGUGCAAUGGGUAUCUAAUUAUAACUUGAAUAGCCAUCAAGAAAACAGUAAAAGUCAUAUCGUGUAAAAAAUUUUCAACAUCUAAUCAAUAAAGGAUAAAAAAUGGUCUUUUCUGAUGGCAUCAUUGAGACGUCUGUAAUCAAUACAAACUUUUCAUCCUGUAAUCAUUCUAGUAGGUACUUCAUUAUUUUUAUUUUUUAUGAUUAUCAUAUCUUUUUUUUCGAUACUACCUGAAUAGGACUUACCCAAGGACUGUUAAAAAUAGGGUAGAAGAUAUCUGCUAUUAGAAAAUUUAUUAUUUCAUUUUCACCACUACUUGCAGUGCUGGAUUCAAUCUCCCCUGAGGUUGAAUUAUUGAUUUGUAAUUGCUCUUCAUGAAAAUUUUGUGUGCGCAAUAGUCAGAUUAAUUCUCUUGAUAUUUAUUAUAGUUCAUCCUAAAGUUCGUUUGUGUGUGUGUAGUACAACAAGCAAACUAUCUUUUUGUUCUAUAAUUAGAGAAGAUGAAAUAAUUACUGAAAAUAUUUUUUGCUUAAUAUAAACAUAUAUUAAAUGAGAUGAAAAAAUUUUGAAUUCAAUUUUUGAUUAAACUUUUUGGGUUGCAUCUCAUCAUUCUCAGAAUCUCUUUUCUAAUAGUUUUGCUUUUUUUCAUGAUCGGAUCAUCAUCUUGUAUGGUGUUUGAUGUUGUCAGACAUUUUUUCAUUGAGUUUGAAAUUAAUUGAUCGCCCUUGAAUUUAUCUUUCAGAUUGCUAAUUAUAUCAACUGGAAAACAUGAAGAUGAUGUCUCAUCUCCUGAAAAAUUUAGCAUUUUUUACAUAUCAAAAAGUACUCUUCCUUCAUAUACUCUUGAAAUUAGUUGUUCUUGAUGGACAUCAGUGAUGGCUCUAUCAAUAGCAAAAAUUAAUUUGUUUAAAAUUAUUGAUUCAUCGGGACAUUCCUUUAUCUUAAGUACAAUAAAAUCUAUAAAACGAUAAAUUUAUUUACUCUUACAAGAAUAUUUUUAAUUAGUUCCUUCGAUUUCUUUGUAUUUUAAUCUACAAAUUGAAGACAGACACUUGUGUCUUUAAUUUCAUCAAGAUUUAAUUUUUUAAAAAUUAAAAAAGAUAUCAAAUUUAUUGAAGCUCUAGAAUCACAAAGUGCAUUUUCAAAAUAUAUGCCUUCUAAAGUGCAUGAAAUAGUAAAAAAACUUGAAUCAUCAAAUUUUUGUGAUAGCUUAUUUUAAAGUAUAGCACUGCAUUUCUCUGUAUGCCGUGUCACAAAAAAAAUUAAUUUUUUUUCUUGACAAAAUUUUAUUUCAAAAUUUUGCAUAUGAAGACAUUUGUAAUAAAACAUUAGCGAAAAAAAUGUUAAUGUGAAUUUAUUUUAAAAUAUUUAUAAACUUUGCAAAUUGAUCAUUAAUCUUUUAUUUUUUUCAUUUUUUGUGAAAAAAAAUUUAUCACAGAGAGAGGAAUCAUUUUUUUAAUAUUCUUUUCUUCCUUUUUCUUAACUUCUUUUUGUUUUGAUGGGUCAUUGGGUGGUUCAACAUUCUUAUUCAUGUCUACAUGUUGUGAUUGUUGUUUUUCUUGUCGAUCUGCAUAAAGUUCAUCAAAUUCCUUAAGAGAUUGUAAGGUAAUGACCAUAAGAUGCUCUUUUGAAUUAUUUUUUUGUAUUAUUUAGUAAGGAAUUUUGAAUUUUUUCUAAUAUAAGAGCUGCCAAUUGGUUUAUUUGAGUUUCUAAAUUUUUAUGGAAUCAAUAAUGAUUUUUGAUUUUUUCACCAGUAGCCUUAAUGUGCUUAUACUAAAGGUCAUCAAAGUUUGAAUAAGCAUGUUGCGGCUUUGCUGAUAUCAAAUUGUUUGCUGGUAAGGUUUGAAGCUUUAUUGUCCAUGAUUUUGAUUUGAGAAGUCAGAUGAAUUUUGUAGAUGUUACUUUUGGAAAGCUUGAGAGUUUUCAGUACCGUUUAAAUUGCUCCACUGAAAUCUUGAAUGUUUUUGUGUCAUUAGACUUUUAAAAGGAUACGGCUUGUAUCCGAUCACGUUAACCUGCUCAUUAUUUUGAUUGGUCACUUGAUAUUCAUGGUUUAGAUAGCUUCCUCCACACAUAUCGCAAGACUCUAACUGAUUUAGUUAUUGUGUAUUUAUCUAAAAAGAUUUAAAUUUUAAUGUCAAAGAAUUAAUUUAUUACAUUAAUGCACUUAAAGCAUCUACUUAAUUUACAUUAGCAAUUUUUUUGAUGAUUACACGGUCCGAUAAUCAUUGAAUAGAAUUUUUUUAAAUUUCAUUCAACAAAUGUAAUGUCUCUUCAUUUAUUUUUUUCAUUAUGGAGCCAUCUACAGCAGCAUCAAUCACAUUUCUCGAUGAAGAUUUUAGAUAAUGAUAGAAAAUAUACAACUGUAUGUUCGAAAAUGUAAUGAUGUGGACAUUUUUUGGCAUUGCUUUUAAUCUCUUUCAUACUUGAUAAACUGACUCAGUAUCAAUCUGCAAAAAGUUAUAUAUAUCAUAUUUCAAUCUUUUUGUUUUAGCAAGAGAAAAAUAUUUAUUUAAAUUUUUUUGAGUCACCUGAUUCCAUGCGAUAAUAAAAUCUUGAGACAAAUUUUACAAUCAAGUCUUGACAUCUCCUUUUAAAGAUAAAAAAUACAACCUCAACUUUAUUGUUUCAGGAAAAACUUCAUUAUACUUAGCAUUUAAACAAAUUUUAGAAAAACAAUUAAAUAAUUAUGUGGAUCUUCACUUGGAUCACCAGUAAAGAUACAAAAUUGUUGAAUUGUUUGAAUUAUGCCUGCUCUAAUUUCAAUGUUGUUGACUGUUACUGGCGAUUUUCUAACACUUGAUUCACAAUUAAAGUAGUCUGAUCUAGCAUAAUUCCUUAGGAUUCUCUGUGUUGCUUUUGAAGCCACUUCAUCAAACUGGUUUUCUACAUGAAUUGAUAGUGAAAUCUUCGAUGUAUUAACAUCAUCUCCUUAUUUUCAUUUGAUCACAGAUUAUGUCCUGAGAAACUAUUCUCUCUUUCCUGUGAAGUCGCAAAGAUCUUUCUAUUUCAGAAUCAUAAUUGACCAACUCUUUCAUGAAAGAGUGGGUCAUAAACAAUCUGAAAUAUAAAAUUCAAUCAAUUAAACAGGUCACUAACAAAACUUUUCUUUUCAUUUUUUUAACUUAAAAAUAAAAAUAUUAAUUAUAAGUUAACAAGUAUUCAAUGGUAUAAGCCUAACAAUUUCUAUUUAAUAAUUAGGGACAAUACUCACAGAAAUACUUGAAAUUUGACCGGAUUAUCAGUUGAGCAUACUGAACUUUGUGGGGGUCCUAUUACCCCCCAGAUUUUUUUUUCAUAUUUUAAUGACAUAUAUCUGCCACUUGACACACUGCGUGUUAGUCACGCGCAUUGAGUGCGUGAAUAGUGCUAAAAACAUUUUAAAGUAUUUUUUUUGCCAAACAACCCAUUAAGUUUAUAAUUAUUUAAAGUUUUAUAUUUUUAUUUAUUUUUCAUUCUUUUUCUUCUUUCUUCUUUCUUUCUUUUCUUCAACAAUGGUUGCUCCAUUAUUAAGUUAAAUUGAAUUCUUGAAGAUUCCAUUUCAGUUUCCAUUCUUGAAGAUUAGUGAAAGAUUUCAUUCAAUUGAAAUUGAAAUUUGGUGUAAUUGAAGCUUGGAACUUGGAACUUGAAAUUAAAAUUGAAAUUGAACUUGAAAUUGAAAUUUUAUUCCAUUGAGUUGACGUAAUUGAAACUUGGAAUUUGAAAUUCAAUGGAAGAUUCCAUUGAGUUGGCGAAAAUGUAACUUGAAAUUUGAAAUUCAAGUAUGAAGAAACUUUCUUCAUAAUUGAAUUUGAAAACUUUUGGAAUUUGAAAUUGACUCAAUGGAAUCAUUUAAAUUUGAUUUGUAGGAGAAAUUUGAGUUGUGGAAUAUUUAAUAUGAUUGUAAUGGUGAAAAAAUGUUGAAAACUGAUAAAAAGGAGAAGAAACAGCGCCUGUAUCACACUCCCUACCGUAAAAACUGGGUAUAGCGUUUUGCGGGAAAUUAAUUCCACUUUAAAAAAAUUUGGGGAGGGGGGAUUAAUUUCACUUAAAAAAGUAUAGGGGGGUAAUAGAAUUCCCGCAAAGUUCAAUAUGCUCCACUGAAAAUUUAGUUAAAGUUUAGGUAUUUUCGUGGGUAUUAUCCCUAAUAAUUAUAAUAACAACAGUAAAAUAGAGCUAUUACUACCAACAAUAACAGCAAUAACAAUAUUUAAGAAUAACGAGGCCAAUCUAUAUAGGAUUUUCUUGCUUGUAGUCUAUCAAAUUUUAAUAUAGUUUAAGAUAUCAUCUCGCGGAGAUUGAAAGAUCUAUGAUAUAAAAUUAUAAUAUCUUGACUACGAGAACAAAAUUGAUGAAAGACGGAGUUGAAAUUAUAGGUCAAUUAAAACUAAAAUAAAUCACUUUGUUGAAAGAUUAAUAAUUAAAAAAGAGUUGAAAAACAUUGAAUUCACUUGAUAAUAUUUUCACAAUAAAAUCUCUAUCUACAAAUAUUUUUUUUUAAAGAAUAAUUGCUUAUUACUAAUACAAUUAUAUUUUAUCUCUAAAAAUAAAUAAUUAAUUAACACUCCGUGAAUUUAUGUCAAUUAAUUGAUUUAAUUCUAGUAACUAUCAAAUCAAUAUUUCCUUGCAUGUGUUGUACUAUAAAGGAUAAAAGAGCUCUUUCGAUUAGUCCUUAAAUCAAUAAAAUUAUUUGAGUCAAUUCUUUCGUGAGAAUUAGGACUGAAAGAAAUAAGAUAAAGGCCCUUUACAAUAUACUUGUUUGAACUAAUUCCUCCAUGAGAAUUAAAAUUUAAAGAAACAAGAUCAAAAAAUUUAAAAUAAUAAAAAAUUAAAGAUGAAUUUCACUCUACAAUUUCACUCAUUAGAUAUCAUAUAUUAAUUUUGCUCCGUGAGAAUUAUAAAAUUAAUAUAAAGGUAACUUAGAGAUAAAAUAUAUGAAAAUAAUGGUAAGAAUUAUUGAAAACUAUUACUCCAACACAAGUUAAAAUAUAAGUGAAAAUCUUUAAGUUCAGAUGUGUUGAGAUUGAGAUAGUAUUACAAAAAUAUAUAUCAAGCUUCAUCAACGAUCCCAACAAAAAGAGAUUACUUCCUUAUGAUGUAAGAAAAACUAAAAAGAAAACAAGAAAUAUUUUUACUAAGAUAAAAUGAUUAUAGAAAGAGACCAAGAUUAACUUUUUCUUUCUCCUUUAGAAAAAACUAGAAGAAUAUUAAAUAGAUGGUAACUGAAAUAUCUCCCUCUACAACGUAUGCUUAUUUAUAGAUAAAUUUCUACUUAGACUUUUGAUGAGAAUUACAAGAUAUUUUCAAUAUAUCAUGAUGAGAAAUUCAGAUGAUAAUUUAUCAUGCAAUCUUGAUGAUAUUUUGACAUGACAAAUACCAUAAAAUUUUGAUGAAAAGUUCAAAAACCUUGUGAGAAUGUUCAUGAUUUUAUCUUUCUUGUUCUUGUGUAGUCUUUGAUAAAUUUAUAGUUGAUGAAUCUUCACUCCUUGUCUUGUAUCUUCUUUCUUUCUUUUUCUUGUUUCUCAUGCAUUCUUUUUCCUACAAGAAUUGUUAGAAAAUACUAGGAGAAUUGAAUAUAUUUAUCCAUGUUUUUUAUUUAAAAUUAUUUUUUAUAUAUUAAAAUAUAUGAAUAAUUUAUAUUCAUCAGGAGCCAUCCCAUCUAAUUUCCUGUUAAAAAGAAGCAUUGCUUCUGAAAAGAAAUAUAAAAAAAUUAUUUUUCAAAAAAAAUACAAGUAGAAAUAAAAAAAAAUCAUGAUAAAAAUAUCUCUAUUACACACACGUGCACACCCACGCACACCCACGCAUAUAAGUUUGAUUUUAAAAUUUUAUACUUCAUAUUUUCAUCAUAAUUUUUUAUUUCAUUCUUAUUUUGUUAUUAUAACUCUUUAUUUUUAAUCUAGAUAUUAUAAAUAGCAAGAAAGUGUUGCAUAGAUUGUUGCCAAGUGGCAAUAUAGGAUAAUGCCAUGUAUUACUUUUUAGGACAAAUUAGUUAGAUUAGGUAAAAUUAGUUAUUAUUUUUUAAUUUAAAUUAAAAAUAGUUAGACCUUUUCUAUUUAAAAAAAUUAAAAAUUGCAAUUAACAAUUUAAGAAAAUCGUGCAAUCAUUACUUAAGAGACUUAUAACAUCUUUUUUUUAAUUUUUCAGAACUUAUCAUAUUUUUAUAUCUAUGCUUAAACUUAAAGAUAAAUUUAAAUUAACAUAUUUGAAUUUAAUUUAUAUCUUAAUUAUUCAAUUACAAAAUUUGAUUUAAAAAAUGAUUUGUAAACUAAUUAAACCAAACAUAAAAUCAUAUUUGAUGUAAAAAUAAUAAUUAAAUUUAUGUUUAAUUAUUUUGAAAAAAAUAAUAAUUAAAUAAAAACUUAAGAAAAUAAGUAAAUUUCCUAUAAAAUAAAGAGUUGAUUAUUAAUUUGAAGAUAAAAGUACAAAAGCAUAAGACACAUCAACUUAAAUUAUUUUCUUUCUUAUAGUUAUUGUUGUGUUAUCAGUACUUUUAAAAAAAUUAAUAUGUAAGUUGGGAAAAUUAAAAUAACAAACGACAUUAAUAUUGUCAUCAUACAUUUCUUUAAUAAGAUUGUUUCAACACCAGUUGAUCUGUCAUUUAGUUAGGUUAUAAUUUUAAAAAUUUAAGAUUUUGAAGUUAUUUUAACUUUUCGCAGUAAUUUAAAAUUCAAGUUUUUAUAUCUUUUUUAAUCAUAUUGAUGGCUUAUUUAAUUCGAUUUUUAAAAGAUCUCAAACUUCAAAUAGUUAAUUAUACAAAUAAAAAAGGAAAAUAAAAUAAUAUUUUAAAAAAUAUGUUGCCUCCCGGUGUUUCUAUAUAUGUUGUUAUAGUUUUUAAAAUUUAUUUAAAUAAAAAGUUAUAAUUCUAAAUUUAGAAUAAAGUUAUAAAAACUUAUUUAAUAUAAUUUGUUAGUUUUUUCAUUGUUAUUAUUAUUGUUGUUGUUGUUGUUGCUGCUGCUCCUCCUGCUGUUGCUGAUGUUGCUGCUUGUUGUUGUUGUUGUUGUUUAUUAAAAAAAGAAGAUGAAGAAUUCAUGUUCUAAUAUUACCAAGUGACAGCUAGGCAAUUCCACAUCAUUCUUAUUUCAAUCCUAUUAGUUUCAUCCUUAAUAAAUAAAAAAAAAAAUUAAAAAUAAAAUUUUUCCAACAUGGAGUUAACUUCUCACGUCUGAUUUCCACUUCUACAUGUUCCUAGGCAUUAGGCUGUUUAUAUUUCCUUUGAAAAAAAAAUUCUCUCAAAAAGAACUGUUUUGCUUUUCAUAUUUCAUACUGCUUACACUUUAGCUAUCUGUUUAUCUUCUAUAUAUAAUAACAGAGGCAAAAAUAUCACAUGUUAACACCACAAAAAUUCAGCUAACAAAAUAAUGCAAAAGAAAAAAAAUCACAUUCUCAUUUUUAGAAAAAAAAAUCUAUUCAUAUAUAAUAACAGAGGCAAAAAUGGCACGGGUCAACACCACAAAAAUUCAGCUAACAAAAUAAUGUAAAAGAAAAAAAUUACAUUCUCAUUUUCAGAAAAAAUAAAUAAUAAAAAAUAAUUAACUUGCACACCAACUACAUAUAAACUGUACAUAUAUUUAAGUAAGUGGCAGUGCUUCCCAAUUUUCUCUUCUCACUGAUAGUUUAGUAACCUACAAACAAAGUAGAUUUAAUUUUUUAAGAUAUAAUUUACUAUGUUUCAGAAUUCAUUCAAGAAACAACUAUAAAGCAACUUAUUCUGAAUUUUAAAUUUGAAUUAAUUUAUAUAUUUUAUGUCUAUAAUUGUAUAUGCUGAAAGGAGAGGAAAAUAUCUCUUCAUUAAGUGACGGAGUCAUGACACUACUUUCUUUUAAAAAAUUACAGAAUUAUUUAAAAAAUUUAAGUUUAGAAAAUUUAAUUAAUUUUAAAAAUAAAUAUUUAAAAUUAGAAUAUUAAAAAUUAAAGUUUUGAGAUGGUUACAACUUCCCCAUUUUUUUAUAAUUAUAAAACCUGCAGUUUUAAUUUUAGAUAUGGUUAUAACUUUUUUAUUUUUUGAUAAUUAUAUUAUAGGAGUUUACAAAUUCCAACAUACCUUUUCUAAAUGUUAUUCUAUAAUGUGCAUAGAUUAUUUGUCCCUGCUCUCAAGUAUAGCAAUUCAAUUUUCUUCUUCGUUUUAAGUAUUUUCACGAACAAUGAGUAUUUAUGCUUCAUAUAUUGUGUGUCGUUAAUCUUCAGAAAAAAUAAAUGAAUAACUAGCAUUGCUAUCAUAGAUGUAGUUGCUCCAACUUUCAAAUAUACAGUGAAUUAAUUUUCAGAAAUAGUGAUUUCAAAUUAGAUAUAAAAAACUAUUGGUGAUUACCCAAAGAUUUUCAUUCAAAAGAUGAUUUGAUAUGGUUGAUUCAGGAAAGGAAAGCCUUGACCCACGCUAAGUUAGGUAGUGUUAUAUCAUUUUUUGCUUUAGGUUGAUCAUUAUGACUAAGUUUUAGUUUUCUUUGUUUGGACAAUUAAAUCUCCUGUCAAAAAUUUAAACGGCCGUGAAGUAAAUAUAUUAUUGAAUUGAAUUGUUAACUGUUUUCUUUUCUUUUCUUUGGUAAAUCUAAAUGUUGGUUACUUAUUUGAAGUGCAGUGGUUAACUAAGUUUUAGUUUCUUUGUUUUAGCAAUUAAAUCUCCUAUCAAAAAUUUAAACGAUUGGGAAGUAAAUAUAUUAUUGGAUUGGAUUGGAUUGUUAACUGUUUUGUUUUGUUUUCUUUGAUAAAUAUAAAUGUUGAUUACUUAUUUGAAGUACAGUUAUAUCUUUGUUCUCAUAAAAAAAGAUUAGUCUACACAAAAAUUUGUAGUUCAAAUGAGUAAGGGUAUAUAGUAGUUGAUUAUAUUAUUAAUAAAUAUAAACCUAUUAAGUAUUUAUCAUGUUGGUUUUAUUUUUCCUACAGUUUUAAUGUACAUGUAAUAUUGUUCUAUAGGCUUGCAGCUUUGUCUUGAUGGGAUCCUCAAUAUAUGAAAAUGUUAAUUUGAAAAGAGUGUUUAUUAGAGUUUAUCAUCUCUAUUUUCUUUUAUGUACUUACUACUGAAAAUAUCUUUUUGUGUGUGUUUUGAUGAAUCAAUUUAAGUGUUUUGUAUUAUUUUAACAUUAUUGGACAUAGAUGUAGAAUGUCAUGCGAAAUAUUGUAAUAAAUGAUUGCAAUUAAUAGGUAAACAAAAAUUUAAAUAAUUGUCAGAUAAAGACUAAUAUGAUAUAAGAUUUUUAUUUUCUUGGGAUAUAUGUUGAUUUUUUUUAGUAUUUUCAUAUAAAAAUUGAACGAACUCCUAAUAAAUUGAUAUGAUUUUAAAUUGAAGUUUAUUUGAAAUAAAGCGUAAAUUUCUUAAUCUAUUAUAUUGUAUAACAGUAUAAGAUGUUAGUAUAUGCAUUUUUUUGAGUUUCACGAUAUGAGAAGCAUGUUUUGACACUUAAAUAUAAAUGCAUAUUUAUUUUGUAAUAAUUUUUAGAUAAGCAAAGAGGAUAUCAAUUGAUAAGCUGUCAGAUUGAGAAAAUCAAAUGUCAUGCUACUCAAGAUAAUACAAUGUAAGUCUAGACAAAAAUUAAGAGUGUACCGUUAUUAUUGUUUAAAUUAAAUGAAAUGCUCAUCUAUAUUUACUCAUAUAAAGUAUUUAAUGGUACUAUUUUUUCAUAGGAGUAUGUUCAUAUUGUAUUUUAAUUAGCAAUAGUUGUUUUUAUUGACAUUUCUCUAUUAAAAAUUGAAUUAUUUUUAGAAUUUGUGUUGAACUUAUAAUUGUAUAAUGUUAAUAUUUUAGAGUUUCAUUGCAGAAAUUCAUGAAGCUAUGAAAAGAAAGAGGGUAAAAACUACACAAUAAAUAUUUAUAAAUCUUUUUUCUCUUUAUCUUAUAAAUUUUUAAAAUUUUACAAAAUAACUUCAUUUUACUAAGAUAUGAUACAACCUACCGUUGAUAUUUUAGUGCCCAAAUCAUUGUAUGAUUUUUAUUCAAAUGGUAUGUCUACAAUAUUCUUUUAUUUUAUUUUUAAUUAAGAAUUGACGUACUUACAAACUUACAAACUCCAAAUGCAAUCGAGGGAGCCAAGUAAAUUGGACUCCUUGGCAACCGACACGAAAAUUAUUAAUACAGUAUAUUUUCUUUAUUUGUUAGGAGUAGUGUGAUCCAAUCGAAUACUGAGGUAUCAAAAUUGAUGACUGCAAAAUUUGUUAUUGCUAUUUUAACAUUAUUUUUGUAAAAAUUAAAAAUAAUCUACUACAAUUUUAUUGAGUCUGAGAAAGGAAGACCUUGCUAACCAGUGGUUGAAUGCUUUUAUUUUUUGGCUUAGUAUAGUCCAUUUUUUGUAUUCCACAACAUUUAAAUUGAAUUCUUAGAUAACUUUAAAAAAAUUGAAGGAUCAAUCCGUAAGCUUUUUCAUGAUAAAAAUUUUAAAAUUAAUUUUUGUCAAGUAUAUUCAAUCUCAUCCAUAAUCAUGUUAUACGUACAAAACAAAUCAACAAUAAUUUGUAUAAGUAGAUAUGUUGUUUGAUAUGUGUUAUUUACAUAACAUACUCACACAUAUAUGGAAAACAAAACACCCCAUAAGAAAAUUAGAACAUCUAAAAAAUUAUAAGGGUGGAUUUAAAAUUUAAUAUGCUUAAUUUUAAAACAUGCUACGCAAUAAUCGGAUAAUUUAAAUGAUGAUUACACCUCUUCUAUCACUGUAAUUGUUCAAGCAUUUCAAAAAAUUAAUAUUCAAAAAAAAUCCCAUAACCUUAUCAAAAGUAUCACAGUAAUAUGAAAUAAAAAAAAAUAAUCUAAGAAAAUCAAAUUAAUAAAAAAAUUUAUAAUAAGGCAUUUUUUAAUCAAACUUAAGUGAAUAUUUGUGUUCAAAAACUAAUCUAAAAUAAGUUGAUUUAUGUAUUUGAUAUAUACAAUCAAUAAAAUUUUAUGAUUAGUUCACUGCGCAUCGCGCGGGUAUGAAUACUAAUAUUAUUAACAAUCAAAAACAAAUUCUCAGAUACGCAGUCAUUGAAAUUUAUUUCUCAAAACAAAUAUAAUUUUCAAGAAAAUGAUGUUUUAUUGUACUUUUCAAAAUUAUUGUAUUAAUUUGUAUUAUGUCUUAAUGAAUUAUCUUGAAUUUUCUACUUUAAAAUGUUAAAUGUAUUAUUAUUUCCUAAUAUUAAUAUUGGUGUGUUAUUAUUUACAGGGAGAUUAAAUUCAUGCAAUCAUUAGAAGUUUUGUGAACCCAUGCAUCAUAGCUAGCAAUAAUACUUGAGAAUUUUUAUGCUGAGAGUCUUCAAUUAGUGUCGUAAUAUUGUGGAGAGAGUUUAGUGUUGUUUAUAUCUUCUUAUAUUUUUCUGUAAAGUUAAAUAAUUAUCUAGGUCACUAAACUGUCCAUUAUAACAAAAUUUGUUCUUUGUUAAUUCUUACUUAGAAAAGAUUUAUUUGAGACAUUCAAUUUUUUCUAAACUAAAUUGUUCCAUUGACGCAUCAACAUUCUUAAAUACAUUUGCAGUAUGACACCACACCCACUAAAAAAAGAUAUUAUGCAGUGUUUAUUAUGAAAAGAUAAUGCUUAUGUCUUUGACUUUAAAAAAACAAUGCUUAUAUUAUUAUAUUUGCGCAGAGAUCCUAUAUUAGGAGGAAGAGUAUUUGCCUUGCCGCAUAGUUAUUUCUCUUAGAGGAACUUUGCUUCAUGUUCAUGGGCAUAGUCUGAAAAUUAUCAUAUUAACUUCUAAAAAGAAUUAUUGCUAUUUUUAAUUGGUGAUUGAAUUUCUAUUAAAGAUAAGUUCAAUAUUUUCUUUAUGUUAGUCAGGUUUACAGGUAACAUUAUUAAGAUACGAUCAUUAUAAUAAACAUUCUAAAUUCUGAAUUCUAAGAAGUUGAUAUGAUUUAUGUUUGGGUCACUCCAAUUUUUCAUACAUUUUGGGUGAAAAUUUGUUAAAAUGAUGAGAUUUGUUUAUUGAUGCACACAUUUUAAAUUUUUUUUAAAAAAAAUGAUUAUAAAUGUGACUUAUUUAAAUAUUUUUCAAACAACAACCCAAUUAGAUUCAAAAUCCUUCGAACACAAAAUUAGUAGAUAAAUUUGAGAGUAGUAGAUUUGGAUGCUUAUUAAUGAAUGAUUUUGACUAUUAUUCAUACCAUUAUUGUGAAUUGCAUUUUAAUUUUGGAAGAUUUUGAAAAUGGAUGAAGGGAUUUGGAUCGGUACUAAAGCUAGAUUCAAUGAAGAUUAAUAAUAUGAAGACAAAAAAUUCAUUUAGAGUCAUUAACAAAUAGGAAUGAGUUUUCUUUUCUUAGUAAAAUGGGGUUUCGGUGGAACAAUUAUGUUUUAAAUUUUGUAUUUGUAGUAGGAUUUCUAAAAUUGAGGUAAAUGAUAGAAUUUUCUUUAUCAAAAACUAAUUAAUACUAAUAUUUAAAAUUUGAAGAAUAUAAUUCCCAAUCAAUUUAAGCAUGGUUUUCUAAAAAAAUUAAUAAUGUUCUGUGUUUAUAUUCCAGGCACAACAUAGUAGAAAUUUUUUGCACGACUAAAAUCACAAUUUUCCCAAUGAAUUAAUGGCGUGCCUUUUUUCUUUCACAUUUGAAAUUUUUCAUUCGAACAAUGUCAUUAUUAUUUUAUUAGCGUUUCUUCUCAAUUGAUACUUUUCUUAAUGUUGAAAAGGUCAUUACAUUUAUUAUUUUCUAUAUGUAAUAUCAUCUUAUAGUGUAUUUUAAAGUAUCAUUAAUUUCACUUUAUCUACUUCAUUUUUGUACAUAUUCUUUAUGAUUUUUUUCUUAUCAGGGUAAUUGUUAAUUUUCUUGCAAAUUUCAUGUAAUUUUAUUCUUCUAUCUCAAUUGAUAAGCAUCAAUGAGAUUGAAAUAAGCUGAAGAAAUCCAUUCAAAUAAUCAAAUGAAUCUUUCACUGUGUUCUGAUCAUUGAAGACGAUGGGUAGCGGCAGACGAAGGUGAGAAGUGAUGGAAACAAUAUAAUAUAUCUCUUGGAUUAGGGACAGUUGGUCUAUAACUAAAAAUUGGCGAACUUUGAAUGGAGAGACGUUUGUGACAGCUAUGAAGAAAUGAGGGUGGUAAUUUUUAUGAAGUUGUCGACAUUGAUAUUCAUCAGUAAAGCUCACAUGCAAUGCCACUGUUCUCGAUUUUCUUCCCGAAUUCUAUUUGUCGGUGAAUGAUGAUUUAGCGAUAGACUGAAUAUGUUCGUUGGCUUUGUGACUACUAUAUUUUAUUAGUGUAUGUACGCAUAUCUAAAUCUUUAAAAGUUAAAUUUUAAAAUUGUCCUGUUCUCAUUUAAUAAAAAUAUUUUCUUUAUUAGAAGAUAAAAAAAUUAAACCCAUAGGUGAAGUUAUAAAAUGAAUUGAAAUAAGUAUUUUUGAUUUAGUUGAAAGUCAUUUGUAAAUGUGGGCAUGAUAUUAUUAUAAUAUUAAUAUUCAACUAAUAAUAUUAUUGUUUUUAUUCUAGAUAGCAUAACUAAUAAUAUUAUUUCAAUUUUAUUUUAAAAAAAUGCUGAAUCACGAAAAUUCAAAAUUAAAUUUCAGCAACGAUAAGAAAAAAUAUUGAAUAGAAAAUAUAUUAAGUCAAGCGACAAGGUAAACAUUCACAUAAAAAUCAAAUAUAUUUAAUUUAAUAGAUAAAUAUUUAAACUAAAUAUAUUAAUUAUGAAAAUAAUAGAUAAAUGACAAAAGGAACCAUCUAUUUAGUUUAAACACAUGUUUGGAUAGAAAAAAAAAAUCUUAGUUGGUAUUCAACCAUGUAUAAUCACAAAUUGGUUCUCAUUAAAGAAGUUUCAUUUUUAUAACUACACAUUAAAGAGAAACAUGAACUUCAUAGACAAAUUUAUUUAUUGAUUUUAAGGAAAAGAUAAAAAAUGUCUUAAUUUUGAAAGUUCAAGUAGCUAAAUUUUAAUUUCAAUUUCACACCGUAAACUCCCCACCCCCGCCCCUCACCCCUUUCCCUAUCCUAAAAAAAUAUUAAAAAAAAACAGACAGUCUGGUGCACUAAAGUUAUCGCUAUACACGAUGUCUGAUGCACUUUAAUUUCAAUUUCACAUCGUAACUAAAAAAAUAUGCUACUAAUACCAAUAGGUUUUAUAAGAAUAUAAUCAAAGAGUUAUAUAUUUAAACUAAUUCAAAUUCAAUUUAUAAUAUUAUGAGAUCAUUUGAAUUAUAGACAAAAUAUUAAAUGAGAAAAAAUAAAUUAAGAUAUCAUAGUAGGAAAUAAUGUAUAAGGAGGACAAUAUCUUGAAAAGUAUUUAUGAAAAAUUAUUAAAGUAAUUCGUUGUUAAUAGUUUAGAUAAAAUAAUAAUAACAAAUUAGUUUGAAUUUGACAUUAUUAUAUUAUAUACAAUGUAGAAUAGUAAAUGAAUAAAAACUAACUAAAAUAUUAGAGUAGAAUAAGAUGUACACAAAAAGAGAUAGUAAUAAAGUGAGGAUAUUUAUAUUUGAAUUAAUUUUGAAAGUUUUAGUUAGUGAAAUAAUUCAUAUAUAAUUGAAUAAUAUACGAAGUAACAAUAUACUGUACGUUGAAGUUAUAUUAAUAUUUUUAUGUAUUAUUUUGGUAUCAAAUAAUUUUCAACAAGAUACUUUUAUGAUUUAAAAAUGUACAAAGUAUUUUAUUAUUUUUAGUAUAAUUUUUAUAAAUUUAUUAAUUCAAAUACGACAUUUUACAUAGUUUUAUUAAUAUUUAUUAAAUUAUUUUUCACGUACAAAUGCACAUUUACAAUUUAUAAAUACAUUGCCUAUUAUUGUUGUUGUUGCUGUUAUUGACUUGUUGUUACUGUUGUUGCUGUUGUUGUUGUUGUUAUUGUUGUUGCUGUUGUUGUUGUAUUGCUGUUGUUGCUGUUGCUUUUAUUUUUGUUGUUAUUGUUCUAGUUUUGGAUUGAUAUUAUUUUAUUAUAUACAAUGUAGAAUAAUAAAUAAAUAAAAACUAACUAAAAUAUUAGAGUAGAAAAAGAUGUACACAAAAAGGUAGAUAGUAAUAAAGUGAGGAUAUUUAUAUUUGAAUUAAUUUUUAAAGUUUUAGUUAAUUAAAUAAUUUGUAUAUAAUUGAAUAAUAUAGUAAAGGUAGUAAAUUAAUGAAAAAAUAGAUGAUAUAAUGCAAUAAAGAAAAAUAAGAAGAAAUAUUAUUCGACAAUUAAUUGAUUUUUUUUUAUUCAAUUUAAUAAAAAAUUUGUUAUUGAUUACAAGAUUGAAAAAUUAGAUAAUUGUGCAAAUUUUAUUAACAUAAUAUGAUCUAAUAUACUCCAACAAGUCAAAUUAAGAUUGUAAAUAAUUUGUUUCCUUUAAUAUUUAUCGCGCAUCGUGGGGGCACGCAUACUAGUUAUAAUAAAUGAAAAAUGAAUCAUGUUGCGAGAUCAAAUCAUAUUUUGAAGAGACUUGUAAAUUUUUUUCGAAUAUUUAAUUUUAAAUAAAUUAUUAAAAAUAUUAUAAUAGUUAUUUAAAAUAAUUUUCUCAAUAAAAUAAUUUUAAUAGUAAAAGUUUAGUGACACAUGUCCUUUUUGAUCAUUUGUCUCUCAAAAACAUUUCUUGAAAAAGUGUAUCCAAACAAAAUUUAUUUAUCAAAAAUAUUUUUCAAAUGAAUUUAUCAUAGGCAAAUUAUUUUUUAAAAAAAAAACACUUUUCUGAAAAACUACUUUGUAAAAAUGUUUUUCAAAUAAAUAAUUUUCUAACCGCAAUCCCAAAUGGGCUCGUAUUUUAAUAAAACUGUAGUUAUGAAAGUAACAGAAAUUAUACCGAAUCGAAUAAAUUAUAUGUAUGAAAUUCAAAAAUAAGAAGCAUUAGAAAUGAGAUAUAACUCGUUCCUUCAACACAACUGACGACAGAAUCGAUGAUCCAAUAUCUUGCAGUUGCCAAAAGCAUGAACAGAUAAAUAUAUUUACAAGAACAACUUGUUUCAAAAAUAGUUUAACUAAAUUCACACCACAAAUGAAUCUGAAAAUACAGUUAAAGCCAGGGUAAUACUGAGCAGGGCAGCUUAACUUCAGUCUUCAGAAUAGUCCAAGGAACCCACAAUCCCUGUGAUUACCUAAUACAUCAUACAAUUUUGAAGAACAAAAAACAAGGAAAUAAAAUAAAAUAAUAAUAAUAAUGAUAAAAGAAAAAAUAAAAGAAAGUGCAAACUUGUUUAUCAGCGUGAAAAAAGAAUUAAGAAUAAUUAGUGAGAUUUUCUUUAUAGCUCUGGAUCAAUUACAAGUGCAACUAUAACAAAAGCACAAUUGAUCUACAAGUUGUAUAAAACAUAUUCAAGGCAAAUGCAAGGGUGGUAUCCACUUGCUGAAUUCCACCAAACUCCUGUCGACUAUAGUUCUAUUAUGGAGCCAGAAAGUUUCUGAUGAUUGGUGGAAUUGCCUAACUUUUCUCUGAAGUUCCCACAUAAGUGCAUUAAAUGCAGUGCAGGAAUCAGACCCGGGAGUAUAAGCGAACAAGCACCUGAUCUUUCGACCCCAAGCUAUCAUUUCUUCGAUGUCUUUAUCUGAGAAUGAAAGAAAGUUGCAUCAUAAAUCCAUUGGCUACUAAUUUUAACGCAAGAUGCUAGGCAAUAAAAGGCGGCGUGCUGACCAGGUAUUGAUUCUAGGUAGUCCAAUAGUUCAGUUCCUAUAUGAGUGGAUGGCCAUUUGAUUGAUAUCAGGGUGUAGUCGAUCACAUUCUGAAAUGGUAAUUCUACUUGAUCCGAUAAGAUUACUGGAACGCACUCCUGUUUAACACAACAAAGGCAUAAAGAAGCGUAGGAAAGUGGAAUUUGACAAACUUUAGUCAUGCACACAAGAUAUGAGAGACUAACCACAAAGAAGGACUCAUAAAAGCGAAGCGUCCAUGAUGAUUCACCACGUGGAGCUAGGCAGAACUUAGCAUUGCGGAGAUGCUCAAAAUAUUCCUUCCUUCCUAGCUUGUUAGGACCACUGAAUUUCAAUUCUGGACAUUCCAACUGUUGAUAGAAUCAAAAAGACCAUCUUUUGGACAAAAAGACUAUAUGGGACUCAAUUGGAAGCAAAUACAAUUAGCGGUUUUGGAAAACUAAAGGAUUCUCACUCAAGUAGAUAAACUGAGAAAUCCAUGUACCUGGUAAAGAAUCGAUGGAAUACUGCUUGACAGCUUAGAUACUUCUUAUGUUAUCAACAAAUAGGACAAAGGUCAUUAUCACUAGCCUCCCAUCGGCAGCAAGGAAGUAGCAGUGGAAGAUAGAAUUCGAAACAGAUUUGAGAAACAUAGGAGGGUUCGGAUCUCUUUGAACUAUUAUAUCUUUUGGGAGGUAGAGGGAAUUUUUCCAUUGGAGAAAAUUGCUUUUGAGAUCUUCACCAUAUAUUAAUUCUACAACCCAUUUCAACUGAAAGAUAUAGGAUUGAGAUGUUUUUUUAGCGGGGACCAAAACUGGAAGGAACUUAAAGAGGACUAAACACAGAGUAAAAUGAUGAUUCCUAUACUAGGCUUUUGAGUCAAACAAUCACAAGAAAAGUGCUUCCCAAGAAAAAAAACCAUGGGUAUGAAUUGAAGUAUCAAACUUAGAUAUGUGCAAAAAAAUCAAUAGUGCAAACAGGGAUUACUGUAAUAUACACUCAAAAAUAUCUGGAUAUUCCUAAUCAAUUGAACAAAGCCUUUUUGUCAGUGAAGUCAUUAUUCUCGACCAAGAUGGGAAAGAGGGAAAGCAAUGGAGACAAGGAGAAGCUUACCUUAUCUGGGAAUUGCUUCGAGAGGUCUAUCAACCGAAGGCGGCCCACCUUUCCUUGUGUUCUCCCUAAAUAGUUUGCUAAGUGUUUCCUCUCUGACAAAGGCAAAGGCUCAACUAUCCUAGAGCCAUGAGUAGUCAUCCCAUCAUCAAUGUUUCCAGGUAUGAUAAUAUCUUUCCAUGUAUUAAAGGCACUAGUGUCUCUUUUAUCUGUUCGAUCCCCCUGCAUUACAUGCAAUGAUAUUCCUCAACAUGGAAGACUGAAUAAGAAUUAACUUAUUGAAGAUAACAGGCAUGACUAGGUACAAGUGUGUUAAGACAACAAACAUAAAAAAUAACAUGAAUAAACUCAUUACAAUUGGUAGGAAACCGCUAAUAGUCUUAUGUUUCUGGACAGAGAGAUUAUAAUUUAUUAUCUUUCUCCGUGCAUGAUACAUAGAAUUGUCACAAUAAACUUACCAUGGAAACAACAUACAGACAGUGUGAGCGACUUGAGGUUCCAUGAGAGAGAAGAAAAAAGAAAAAGCAGAUCACUGCAUAGUGAAUGACAGUGCAGCAACCCAUGAAACAUUUUCUAUGACUGCACAUGAAGGGUAAGGAUUAUAGACUGACAGCUUGUAAACCCUUACCUCAGGAGUAAGAAUUAUAGAUCGAUUCAAGUAUGUUGCCCAAGAUUUAAAUAAAUGAGCUCCAGCACCACUGCAGUUCAGCAAAAGUAACACGCGUAAGAAAAAGUGAUCUUUUUUUCAAUUGAAAAUGCAACUGAGAGAAAUUUAGCUGCAUGUCUAUUUUGCAACAGCAUUUAGCACAGGUGAAAAUGCAUGAUCAAUAUUUUAUCUGACUGCAUCAUUGAAGUUGUGGCUUCACAUCUAUGUCCCAGUUCAUAACGUGCCUGUUCCUGCCUUAUUCAACUAGCAGUUUUGAUAAAUGCAGCACAACUACCAUUAGGCGAUAUUUUUAUCAGAUUGCAACUUUGAGGUCAUGGAUUUAUAUCUACAUCCAAGCCCAUGCAGAACCUAGCUAUACCUGUCGUAUUCAUAUACCAGCUUUUACAAAUUCCAUACGUCAUUGAGUCAUCUAUUUAAUCUGCGAAGCAUCUCAUAAUUGGAUUCCUAUCCCUUAUCCAUGAAUUUAAAGAUCUCCAUAUGAUACUUAUACCUUGGGAAGACAAAUAUGUGGUUGCGGCCACCAGAUAACCUGAAAUAUGGCAUUUGACUUAACACCUGCAACCAAAGGGUUUUGAUAGAAAGAAGAUCAUACAUAAAGGAAAACGUAUAUGAGAGGAAAUGGAUACAGUGACAUUUCAGUUGAAGCUCUAAAGAAAAGAAAAAUAUCACUAUUAUUCAACUGUGGCAAUAAAUAGAACUUCGAAAGAGUUUUGACAGCACAAUGUAAUUUUAAGGUUCCUGAUAUUUACUACCUUCACAUAGGUCUGAUUAAUCUCUUUGUCAUUCAGGCCGCCCAUCAUCCGAACACAUUUAGGAUAAGCAGGCACAAAGAAAAGAUCGGCCUCUUCUUUCUUUCUGGUCCUGAACCUUGACUGCAAAAGCAUCCUAUGUAUCUUAACCUACAGGCACAUCAGAAAAACAAGAUAGAGAAGCAUUAGAGAGUUAAACUUAAAACUAUAUAAAGAAACCUAAUAACGAAAAUUUCAUGUUAUUAUUGGGGAGGUAACAAUGUAAUUCUUGCAGGUUUUUACUAAUGUUGCCCUCAAGAAAAAAGGAGCCAAAAUGAAAUACUUAGAUUUUGUCCAUAGUUCAAAGUGAGAAUGGAGAGUGAAUUCUCAGUGAUACCUUGCAUGGACAGAGAAAUUUAUUGACACAAUGAGUCAUCUUUGUAACUGGAACUUUGGAAGUUAAGGAAAUGAAGGGAAAAAAAGGAAGAAAAUAUCAAAACCUCUUUAUUGAUUUCCAAAUAAAGAUAGAUAACUUCUUUUGAUGUGUAAACUGUAAAGAACAAUUUACCCCAUCAAUACGAAAGUGUUGGUGAAUGUGAGCCUUGGAGCAACAGUAAGUUGUCUCUGUGUAACCUAUAGGUCACGGGUUCGAGAUGUGGAGUCGGUCACCAUGCUUGCAUUUGGUUAGGCUGCCUACAUCACACACUCUUAGGGGUGCGGCCUAUUCCCCGACCCCGCGUGAAUGUAGGAUGCUUAGUGCACCGGGUUUCCAUUUAGUAAGAAAGUGCUGGUUUGGAGGCUAAGAAGAGGAUUUACAGUCACACAUACUGUAAACUGCUGAGGAAAUGAAGAAUGGCUUCGACAUCAUUUACAAUGCCUACUUGCACCAAAAGUGUGGCGAAAUUAUACAUUUAUGCUUAGGGCUAAUGAAAUUUUCAAAUUUGUCUUCAAAAACUGUAUGGCUUCUUUCCUCCAAAGAGUUCACCAACUAGCUGCUGGGAUGGAAUGCCAAAUACUGAUACUUGCCUCGGUGAGGUUUUUUUACUGUACAACUAACUCUUCAAGAAGGCAAGGAUUGGUUUUAAUAUUGAAGAAGAGUGGCCACAUUCGAUGUGUGAAAUGACAGUGCAAGAAGGCAAGGAUUGGUUUUAGUGCCAGUUGUCAAAUAGGACCACUGCAUAGCUGUUCUCUAUAUAUACUAGCAAAGUUGCUCGGACUCUCCAAAAAUGUUGCCGCAACCGUGUUGGAUCCUUCAAAAAGACAUUAUUUUUGGAAUAUUCGACACACACCCAUUGACAUUUUUUAAGAGUCCGAGCAACAUAGCAUACUAGUACUCUUAGCUUGUAACUUCUUUUUCAUUAAUUCAGAAGUUACAUUAAUUCAAUCAAAGGAUUUUUCCCAUUCAAUCGAUUAUCUCCAUAAUUUCAAUAUGGUAUCAGAGCUGUGAAUCAAAGGACGAUUCAACAAAUAAAUUUAACAACGCAUUCCGCAAAUUGCUGAUAAUCUUCUGAGAAAUUUGAAGAAAUGGUGAGUGCACCAGGCACUGCCACGGAAACAGAGACAGUUGCAGCUGAAACUCUUGAAGGAAUUGAUCAAAGGCGCAAUCAUCCACUGUAUCUACAUCCUUCGGAUAAUCCGGGCAGUGUUCUCAUCACCGUGCAUCUUACAGGGAUGGAAAACUAUUCUCUAUGCAGUAGAUCCAUGUUGAUUAAUCUUCAAGCUAAGAGUAAGCUGCGGUUUGUGCUAGGGACAUGCAAGAGAAGUGAUUAUCAAGGAGAACUGGGAGCACAGUGGGAAAAUGCAAUGCAUUUGUGCUUGCAUGGAUCAUGAAUAUGUAUUGAAGGAGCUACUAAGUGGUAUAGUUUAAGCAACGGAUGCAGCUGCAGUGUGGGCCAAUCUGAAGGAGAGGUUCGACAAGGUUGAUGGAUCUAGAAGUUAUCAAUUGCAUAGAGAUUUGCACUAUUCAUCAGGUAAUUUGAGUGUUUCUGCAUAUUUCUCUACAUUGCAUUUACUCUGGGAUGAAUUCAGUGCACUUGUUUCUCCUCCUUCAUGUAAUUGUGUGAUAAAUCUAGAACCUAUGUGGAUCAUUUAGCAUGUCUGAGGCUAUUUUCCUUUUAGAUGGGGUUGAGUGAGGUGUAUGCACAGGCACACAUUUAAAUUCUAAUGAUGUAUCCAUGACCUAGUGGGGGGAGGGCAUAUGCCAUGAUAAUGGCGGAUGAAGGUCAGUGUAUGACAGCAGAUUCACAAACUGGAGGGGAUAUUUUAGAUUCGACUGGGACUACUUUAUAUGUAGGAAAGGGAAGUUUUCAGAAAAAGUUUUAGUUUAAGAAGAAAAACUGGGACCAAAUCUGUGAUUACUGUAAGCUCCAAGGACAUGUAAUGGAUGACUGUUUCAGAUUGAUUGGUUAUCCUGGAAGUUUAAGAAGAAAUCAGGACAAGCUUUUAACCAAAUGCAGAAUAACCAGAUGCAACAUAAGAGACAGCAAACUGUAGCUAACGAUGCUUAUGGAAAACAGGAAUGCAAUGCACUCAGAUAUGGCUAACAAUGCUUAUGGAAACAGGAAUGCAAUGCACUCAGAUGUGGCUAACAAUGUUUAUGGUAACAGGAAUGGAAUGCACUCAGAUGAUGAAUUUGCAAACUGCAACAGGAAUAUAAAUCAUUAUACAGCUGAUGCUUUUGCACCAAUGGACAAAGGGACGAAUCAGGUGCUCCCAGUAAUUGCAACUCAGCCUAAUUUUACUCCUGGUCAAUAUCAGAACAUUGUGAAAAUGAUGGAUGGUGAUGAAGGAUCAAGUUCAGCAGUUUGGAACAAUGUAGCAAACAUGGCAGGUACAUCUGUCUCUUAGUGCUUUUUCUGUAUCAAACAGAGGAACAGAUAAAGCAAAGAGUUGGAUAGUUGACUCAGGAGCCAUAUGCCACAUUACUCCUAAAAUUAAUAGAUCAAAUUCUGUGUCUAGAAAAGAGAGUUGUGUAGGAAGGCAAGUGCAAUUACCUACUGGUGAAAUGAUUGCAGUAAUACACUCUGGGAGUUGUAAAACAAUAGAUGGUGGCUUGUUACAAGAUGUGUUAAUUGUUCCUAGUUUCAAGUAUGACUUGCUUUCAGUUUCACAGUUAACAAAAACAGCUGAAGUGUUCUGUUAACUUCUUCCCUGAGUUUUUUGUAUUUCAGGAUCUCUCUACUGGGAAGGUGAGGGGGAUUGGUAAAGAGGUAGAUGGAUUGUACUAUUACCUUAAUCAGAUUCCUUUUGAUAAAGGCAGAACUGAGAAGCUGUUCAUGAUACAACACUCGGAGUUAAGCAAAUUGUUGUGGCAUAACAGGUUGGGACACCCUUCAGUCAAGGUGCUUAGACAACUAUCUCUCUUGAAGAAUGAUAGUGAUAUUACAAUAUGUAAUAAAUGUCCAGUAUGUCCACUAGCAAAACUAUUAGAAUAUGAUUAGAAAUAUGAAUAGUAUAUACCAAAUCCUACUUGGAAAAGGAUUGUACUAUAGUGUCUAUAAAUAGGGUCUUGAUGUAAUUAUGUUAACACAAUUUUUCAAUAAUAUUUUCUCCAUUAAUUCUCACAUGGUAUCAGAGAGCUGGUGAGAAACUUCAGAAAAGAAAACUCAGUCACCAUCGUCAAUUCCGGUGACUGAUUUGUGCCAUCUUUUAUUUUGUGGGUUGUGUGAAAAAUACAAUACCACCAAGAGGUUUGGAAAGCUCAGGCGACACAAACCCAACCCAACCCACCGGAAAACAACCCUCCACGCGCCCCACGCGCUUGUCGGAAAUCCGGCAAGAUCAAUCAUGCGCCGGCGCAUGAGACUUCUCCGGUUGAAUUUUUUGAGUGGUUCCUUUUUUGUUGGGGUCGCCGUUCUAUUCCGAUCCGUCCACUUAUUUGUUUUUCAGAUUCCGGUGACUUUUGAAGAUUCCGGCCGACGGAAUUAGGGUUCUGGCGACUUAAAAAAAAAACUGAAAGUUCAAAUUUCCAGACUUCCAGAUUCUGUUUCUUGGUAUUUUCAAGUUAAAAUUUCCAAAAUGUCUUUUGGGUAUGAUGUUUUUGUCCCCAAAACUACCGAUAUCGGAAGUUCAAGUCCUAUGAUCACUUCCGAACCAUUAAUGAGAAGUUCAAAUAAUUUAGCCCGGGCUCCCUCAGUUGAGUUGUGAUGCAAAGGUCAAGGUGUCCAAGAUCAUUUAACAAACAAAGCUAGUGUGGUAGAUGAAAAGGGAAAGUCGAGCGCAGAAAAUGCGAAAGCUAAAGAGCAAUGGGAGAAAGUUGACGCUCAAUUAUGUAGUCUCUUAUGGCGAUCUAUUGAUUCUAAGUUGGUGCCUUUGUUUCGUCCAUUCCAGACGUGCUAUUUAGUUUGGAAAAAGGCUCGUGCUUUAUAAACAAAUGACAUAUCUCAUUUUUAUGAUGUGAUAGCACUCGAAUGACCAACUUGAAGAAACAGGAAUCCGAUAUGUCUACUUACUUGGGACAAGUACAAGCAGUCAUGGAAGAAUUUGAUACAUUGAUGCCCGUCACUGCGGAUGUAGAAAAACAACAAGAGCACAGAAAGAUGUUUUUAGUUCUUACACUUGCUGGACUUUCUACUGACCAUGAUGCUGUACGUGAUCAGAUUUUAGCUAGUCCUACGGUUCCUACAAUUGAUGAGUUAUUCUCUCGUCUGCUUCGUCUUGCCGCGCCUCCCAAUCACAAAGUAGGUUCAUCACCAACUGUCGACCCUUCUAUUCUUGCAUCUCAAACCAUGGAAAAACGAACAUAUCAACCAAUGAAAAAUCGGCGAGGAGGAGGUCGUUCUAGAAAAUCUCGAUCGAAGUGUAGUUAUUGUCAUAAAGUUGGACACACUCAGGAUAUAUGUCAUAGUUUGCAUGGUCCACCACCCAGUUAUGAUCCUGCUGCUGUAAAGGAAUAUAAUAAGUUCCUUCGGUUAAGCAAACAUCUCCACAACCUAAUCGACCAUCCAAUAAUGCUCAUAUUGCCCAAACAGAAUAUGAUGAGUUCCUUUGGUAUAGAGCAAGUAAGCAGACAUCUCCACAAGUAGCCUUAGUUGCCCAGCCUAAUGCUUCUGUUGCUGGUAAUCCUUUUGCUUGCGUUUCACAGUCUAAUACUCUUGGAUCAUUGGUUGUGGACUCAGGUGCUUCUGAUCAUAUUUCUAGUAACAAAUCACUUUUUUCUGAUAUUGUUUAUUCACAAUCUCUUCCUGCUAUUACUUUAGCCAAUGGGAUCCGACCAAAACCAAAAGGAAUUAGACAAGCCAAACCCCUAUCUUUUGUCACCCGAGACUCUGUUCUUUAUGUCCCUGGUUGUCCUUUUAAUCUUGCAACUGUUAGUCGUUUGACACGUGCCCUUAAUUGUAGCAUAACUUUUUUUAAUGACUCUUUUCUAAUGCAGGACCGCAGUACGGGACAAACGACUGGCGCAGGACAUGAAUCACAAGGCCUUUACCAUCUCACCUCUUCAAAUUCCUUCACAGCAUGAUCUGUUACAGAUCCUCCAGACCUAAUUCACAAACGUUUAGGACAUCAGAGUCUAUCCAAGCUACAAAAGAUGGUGCCUAGUUUGUCUAAUUUAUCCACAUUAGAUUGUGAGUCAUGUCAACUUGGGAAACACACCCGUGCUACUUUCCCACGUAGUAUUGAGAAUCGUUCAGAGUCUAUUUUCUCAUUAGUAUAUUCUGAUGUUUGGGGUCCUAGUAGAGUCAGUUCACCUUUAGGUUUUCUUUAUUUUGUUAGUUUCAUUGAUGAUUUUUCAAGAUGUACUUGGGUUUUCUUAAUGAAAGAUCGUUCUGAGAUAUUUUCUAUAUUCAAAAGUUUUUGUGCUGAAAUACAAACUCAAUUUGGUGUUUCUAUUCGUACUUUUCGUAGUGAUAAUGCCUUAGAAUACUUAUCCUCUCAGUUUCAGGAGUUUAUGACUCAUCAAGGAAUUGUUCACCAGACAUCUUGUCCAUACACCCCUCAGCAGUCUGCUAUAGCAGAAAGAAAAAAUAGGCAUCUUCUUGAGACUGCUCGCACUCUUCUUAUUGAAUCUCGUGUUCCGCUGCAAUUUUGGGGCGAUGCAGUCCUCACAUCCUGCUAUCUAAUUAAUAGAAUAUCAUCAUCUUCCAUUCAGAAUCUGGUUCCCCAUUCUAUAUUGUUUCCACAGUCACAUCUCUACUCUAUUCCCCCUCGUGUCUUUGGGAGCAUAUGUUUUGUUCAUAGCUUAGCCCUUGAAAAAGAUAAAUUAGCCCCUCAUGCUCUCAAGUGUGUCUUCCUUGGUUACUCUCGAGUUCAAAAAGGGUAUCGUUGUUAUUCACCAGAUCUUCGUUGCUACUUUAUGUCCGCCAAUGUCACCUUUUUUGAAUCUCGACCUUACUAUAUAUCUUCUGAUCAUCUUGAUAUCUCUGAGAUUUUACCCGUAUCUCCAGUCUUACCCACACCAUCCUUGGUCUUACCCAUAUCUCCAGACAUACCCGAACCAACCUUUAAGGAAUCAACGGUUACUUUUACGUCUCCUACUAUAGUGCCACCACUUAUGACUUAUCAUCGUCGUUCACGUCCACCAAGUAGUCCUAGAUGAUUCAUGUCAUGCGUUGGACGCUGCUCCUACUGCGGACUUGCCUUCUCCUAGCCAAUCAGUUGCACUUCAAAAAGGUAUGCGUUCCACUCGUAAUGCUAACCCACACUAUACUUUCUUGAGUUAUCAUCAUUUAUCAUCGCCCCAUUAUGCUUUUGUAUCAUCUUUGUCAUCUAUUUCCAUCCCUAAGACUAUAGGUGAAGCACUUUCUCAUUCGGGAUGGAAGCAGGCUAUGAUAGAUGAGAUGUCUGCUUUACAUGCGAGUGGUACUUGGGAGCAUGUUUCCUUCCUGCAGGUAAAUCUACUGUUGGUUGCCGUUGGGUUUAUGCAGUCAAAGUUAGUCUAGACGGUCAAGUUGAUCGGCUUAAGGCUCGCCUUGUUGUCAAAGGAUACACGCAAAUAUUUGGGCUUGAUUAUGGUGACACUUUUUCUCCAGUGGCUAAAAUAGCAUUUGUCUGUCUUGUCUUAUCCAUUGCUGCCAUUCGUCAUUGGCCUCUUUGUCUGGUAGCCUUGUAUGUCAAUUGCUCAGGACACUCCUAUGGAUCCAAAUGCCAAACUUCUACCAAGACAGGGGAAGCCACUCAGUGAUCCUGAAAGGUAUAGGCGGUUGGUCAGAAAGUUGAAUUAUCUCACCGUGACUAGACCUGACAUAUCCUUUCCUGUGAGUGUUGUAAGUCAGUUCAUGACUUCCCCCUGUGAUAGUCAUUGGGAUGCAGUUGUUAGUAUUCUGCAAUAUAUAAAGUCAGCUCCAGAUAAAGGACUACUCUUUGAGGAUCGGGGUCACAAGCAUAUCAUUGGAUACACAGAUGCUGAUUGGGCAGGCUCACUCUCUGAUAGACGUUCUACCUCCGGAUAUUGUGUUUUAGUAGGAGGUAAUUUGAUGUCUUGGAAGAGUAAGAAACAGAGUGUGGUUGCUCGAUCUAGUGCAGAAGCUGAAUAUCGAGCAAUGGCUGUAGCAACUUAUGAGCUAGUUUGGAUCAAACAGUUGCUGAGAGAAUUAAAAUUUGGAGAAACGGGUAAGAUGGAACUUGUGUGUGAUAGUCAAGCAGCCCUUCAUAUCACAUCAAAUCCAGUGUUUCAUGAGAGGACUAAACACAUAGAGAUUGAUUGUCACUUUGUCAGAGAAAAAAUACUCUCAGGAGAUAUUGUUACAAAAUUUGUGAAGUCAAGUGAUCAACUUGCAAAUAUCUUCACCAAAUCCCUCACCGGUACUCGUAUUAAUUACAUUUGUAACAAGCUAGGUACAUAGGAGUGUUAGAAUAUGAUUAGAAAUAUGAAUAGUAUAUACCAAAUCCUACUUGGAAAAGGAUUGUACUAUAGUGUCUAUAAAUAGGGUCUCGAUGUAAUUAUGUUAACACAAUUUUUCAAUAAUAUUUUCUCCAUUAAUUCUCACAAAAACAAACUAGGUUACCUUUUCAAUUGAGUAUGUCUAAAACUGAAGCUAGUUUUGACUUGAUUCACUUGGAUAUCUAGGGACCAUAUAAGAGUCCCACACAUAAUAGAUGUAGAUUCUUUCUGACCAUUCAAGGAUGACUUGGUUGUACUUGUUGAAAUGAAUAAUGAAGUUUUUUCUGUGCUGAAAUCAUUCUUUAUGUUAGUUCAAACUCAAUUCAAUAAACAUGUUAAGAGGAUGAGAUCUGAUAAAGUCACAGAGUUCUUUAACAAUGAAUGUGAUACAUUAUUCAAGUCUUUGGUAUCAUCCAUGAGAGUAGCUGCCCAUACACUAGACAACAAAAUGGAGUGGUUGAAAGAAAACACAGAUACAUACUUGAAGUGGCUAUAGCCUUGAAAUUUCAAGGGAAAAUCCCUAUUAGAUUCUGGGGUGAGUAUGUAUUAGCUGUUGUCUACUUGAUAAGCAGAUUAUUACUGCAGUUUUAAAGGGAGUUUCAUGGACAUAAGGUAAGCCUAGAUCAUCUGAGAACUGUAGGUUGUUUAUGCUAUGCAACUGGUGUGAUGAAAACUGAUAAGUUCUCUCCUAGAGCUGAAGCAUGUGUAUUGAUGGGAUACUCAACUACUCAGAAAGGUUACAUUCUAUACAGUUUACAUCAAAGAAAGUUGAUAGUUAACAGAGAUGUUGUAUCCCAGGAGCAUGUAUUUCCAUUUCACAGCAAGAGCAGUGACUAUGCCCAUGUACAAUUAUUUUCACCUAAUCCUCCUGGUAAUUCAUCUUCCAUUGAAGAUACUGCAACACAUUCUGAAGAGAUUCAGGCAUCAAGUCCAGUAUUUGUGAAUAAUGAUGUCCAUACAAUGGUAAAAGGAAAUGAGUUGCAUAUUAAUCAUGAUCCUAUAGAAGAAGAUGGUGAUAUUGCGGACUUGCAACCUGCAAUUCCUGAAGAUAAUGCUCUCGCUGAAGGAAAUGUUGGUAAUGUAGAUUUGCAGCCCGUAAUUCCUGAAGAAAAUGUGGUUAAUAUUGUACCUGCUGGUCAAUCAAGAAGCUACAUACAUUCUACUAGGACUUCUCAUCCUCCCAUUUGGAUGAAGGAUUAUGUUGCUCCACUGUGAAAGUCUCAUCCCUAUUCUCAAAGCAAUUAUGUUUCAUACCAUGGGAUAUCUUCUAAAUAUAAAGCCUAUUUGUCUCAGUUUUCCACAGAAGUUGAGCCUCGAAAUUAUGAAGAAGCAGUCAAGGAUAAGAGAUGGAUAAAAGCUAUGCAACAAAAAAUUCAAGCCUUAGAAGAAAAUGAGACAUUGAAAUUGGUUGCAUUACCACCAGGGAAGCCAGCAAUUGGCUGCAAGUGGGUUUUCAAGAUCAAGUAUAGAUCUGAUGGUCAUAUUGAGAGGUUCAACGCCAGGUUAGUAGCAAAGGGAUAUAAUCAAAGUGAAGGGAUUGACUACCAGGAAACUUUUUUUCCAGUAGUGAAAAUGAUCAUUGUCAGAUAUAGCCAGCCUUAGCUGCGGCUGAGCAUUGGGUUAUGUGCCAAAUGGAUGUCUUUAAUGCCGUCUUGCAAAGUGAUUUGUUUGAAGAAGUUUACAUGGAAUUACCUAAAGGGUUUUGUAGUAAGGGGAAGCAUAGCAAUCUUGUCUACAAGCUUGUUAAAUCUCUUUAUGGACUUAUACAAACUUCUAGACAAUGGAAUGCUAAGUUGACAGAAGCACUUUGCACCUCAGGAUAUACACAGAGUCAUCUAGAUUACUCCUUGUUUACUAGGAGGAGAGGAACUGGGUUUAGUUGUGGUAUUGGUUUAUGUUGAUGAUCUAUUGAUCAUAGGAAAUGAUGCAGCAUUGAUAGCAGAGACUAAGCAGGUUUUACACAGUCAUUUCAAGAUCAGAGACUUGGGAGAACUCAAGAAUUUUUUGGGAAUUGAAUUUCUCAGAUCUGAUAAGGACAUAGUGACGAACCAGAGAAAAUAUGCUCUUGAGUUGAUAGCUGAAGUGGGGCUAGGAACAGCAAAACCAAUUUUGACACCCUUAGAAUGCAACAUGAAGUUGACCAGUAUGGAAUAUGAUCAAGUUGGCAAGGGCAAUCAUUCUAAUGAUCCCGCAUAUAAAGACAUUCCAAAAUACCAGAGACUUGUUGGAAAACUACUUUAUCUUACUAAUACUAGACCAGAUAUCACAUAUGCAGUACAAUCUUUGAGUCAGUUUAUGCAGAAUCCAAAGAUGUCACAUUGGAAUGCUGCUCUAAGAGUGGUUAAGUAUAUCAAGAUGGAACCAGGAAAGGGAUUGCCGAUGAGUUCAGAACACAAACCUCACUUGACAGGGUAUUGUGAUAGAGAUUGGGCAGCCUGUCCAAGCACAAGGAGGUCUGUUACAGGUUUCUUGCUUAAGUUUGGUGAUUCUUUAAUUGGUUGGAAGUCAAAAAAACAAAACACUGUGUCUAGAAGUUCAGCAGAGACAGAGAGGUAGAAUACAGGAGUUUAACUGUGUUAACAGCUAAAGUUGUUUGGGUGACAAGCUUGUUUAAAAAGUUAGGAGUGCAGUUGAUUGAACCUGCUUCCAUUCACUAUGAUAGCAAGGCAGCCUUGCAAAUAGCUGCAAAUCCAGUGUUUCAUGAACGUACCAAACACAUUGAGAUUGAUUGUCAUUUCAUUCAAGAAAGGAUACAAAGAGGACUGAUCAAGACCUUCUACAUCAACAUUAAAGAUCAACAAGCUGACUUGCUUACUAAAGCAUUAGGAAGAUCACAACUAAGUUUCGUUAGGCAAGCUUGGAGUCUGGAAUCUUUUCAGUACAUCCAGCUUGAGAGGAAAUCUUGUAAUUGGUUAAUGAUGUUGAUUAGAUUAAAUUAGUCAGUUAAUUAAUUAUCUAUUUGGUAGUUAGCCUGUUAGUUAGAUGGUUAUAGAUAAUUAGAUAUUUAAGUGCCAGCUGCCAUAUAGGACCACUGCAUAGCUGUUCUCUAUAUAUACUAGUACUUCGUAGCUUGUAACUUCUUCUUCAUUAAUUCAAUCAAAGGGUUUUUUCCCAUUCAAUCGAUUAUCUCCAUAAUUUCAAUAGUUCCCUUAAGAUCCUUUUCCGGUUUCUCCUUUUCUAAUGUCCCUUCCUGUGCAACAAAGACUUAAAAUUCGAAGAAGAGAUAGUUACAAAUUAACAACCUCACACCACUUUGACUUUUAAGUAUUAAUCCAUCAAUGUUAGGUAUGGAAAAAGUACUGUUUUAUAACAAUUGGACUCUGAUAUUUUUGAUAAUGUAAUAACUGAACAUAGAUAUGAGGGCAAAAACAGGCUCUUCACUCAAAGUUCUAACUUAUGUACAGUUCUCCCUGCAGGAAAAACUCAUCUCAAUCAUUCUCUUGUACCCAAAGCACUACUGUUUUCAUUGACCUGAUUUCACUGAAAGUUAUUUCAAGCUACCUAGAUUUGCUGCUAGCUUUCGAUAACCACAUCCACAAUGUAAUAAUUAGUUUUUAACCAUGCCCCCAUGAUAAUAACUACUCUAAAGCAUCUUCAAUCUAAGAUAGGGAAUACAUGAUUAAAUAAAACUAUAAAUUUCUUGGUGAUUCGCCAUUUUCUCACUAAUAUGUUAGGUGUUGCAAAAAUCAAUGGGUGGAGCUGCUACUGACUCUGGUCUAUGAAUACAAAUUUACCCAAGUUCGUGAAAACUAAAAUGACACCUAAAUUAAGUUGAACUUCAACACACUAUCCUCCUAACAUAUGCAGUAAUAGUUAUGCAAUAAGACCUUACCAAAAUUCUUGAAAAUCAAAAUGGCAGCCAAAUAAGUUAUAAACUUAGAAUGAAUAACUUCCACUACAUUAUGCUGAAAAACUUGAUUAUCCAAAAAAAAAAAAAAAUCAAAAUGGCAGAGAGCCGAUGGGAAAGUAGUCCGUUAUGCGAGGAAACACCAGAUAGACAUCAUUGGCACCAAGCGUGAGGGAAUGCCAGAUGUUUGGUAAUUUCUCCUCCGACCAUAGUAAAUGAUCCCACUGAAAGCCUCCACUUAUGAAAGGCCAACCCGGCAUAAUAGGCAUAGCAAUGCAAAGAGCUUUACUUGGAAAAAAAGGAGGAACAUUUAUCACACGUGGAAAAUGUGAGAAAUUCCCACAUGAAUAUUCUACCAUAAUGGGCAUUCAACAUGAAUACUCUACCAUAACAGGCAUUCAAGAAUCCAAACAUGAAAUUUAAAAGAAUUUGAAAGAAAUUGUUUGAGAAUUGAUCUAUAUGGAACUUGUAUAUUUGUGUCAUGGGUCCUGGAUGUAUAACUGCUCAAGAUAUGAUCUUGCCGCCAUAUGAGAAGUUAAACUUAAAAAUGAAUAACUUCCACUACAAAAAUUUACACAUUUCCCAAAUCCAAUCUGAUAAGCAGAAAAAUAUCCAAGCUAAUAUAUAUUUAUAUUAACAAAAACUAAGAAAAUCUCCUUCUCAUCAUAAUACUAGGAAAAUAGGGAAAUUACCUGAGUACCCCAUUGGCCUUUAACACAAGAAUCAGGAGAAAUCAUGUCAUCACGGCCAAACAACAAGUGUUUCAACCCAUUAAUCUCAUUCUCAUCAUACACAUAAAUCUUCAACGAAAGAUGGGUCCCAUAUCCGCGCUCCGGCCAAAAGAGGGCCCCACCAGAAUCAGAGAACCGCACGACGUCGUUCUUCGAUCUGUAUUCACCAGAAGUAGUAGUAGUAGGGAUUGAGAAGGAAGAGGAAUUUAGUGACUGAUCGAAGAUUCUGGUGAGGAAGAAAGUGACGAUGAUGAGAGCUAGAGCGCCGAUCUGGUGAGUGCGAGUGCAUGGGGUUAUGGUGUUACUGUGGUGUGAAGUGAAUGGUCUGCUGCUCUUGCUGCUGUGUAUACUUCCCAUUGUUGAUUGCUACUGAGCAGAGAAGAGCAGUGACGGGAGUGUUGAAAACGCAAGGAGGGAGAUGGAAGAUCCAAGUACCCUACGUCAUCGUUUCGUGUUUGUAGUAGUAGAAACCAUUACUUUUUGUUUUAACUUUUAACUCUUAGGUGACACUUUUACUACUUCCAGCUCUUGUAUUCAAAUUACGCGAAUUUUAUAGCUAGCUUUGGUCAUGCCAUGUAUUUUUGACAAGUAUUCUUUUGGUGAACUUUAAUAUUAUAGCCCCUAAAAUAUUUCACUUUUUUUUAUAGGCACUUCAAUUAAAAAAGAUAUUUAUUGAAUUCUUUAUUCCUUUAAAAAUAGUUUCAAUUGAGUCCAAUUCUCCAACGUGGCAGUUUGCGUGUACUCACGUUUGGGAGGCUCGUGAAAUAUCAUGGAACCAGCUUAUGUGGCACCCAACGGAUCUUUUAUCCUCUUUUUAUACCCAAUUUCUUUAAAAAAAAACCUAAUUCCCACUUUGUUCCUCUUUUUAUACUCAAUUCUUAAUAUCCACCAUUUUUGUUUCCUAAAUUCUCCUCCUCUUAAAUUCCUUUUCGGCCUUUUCUCUUGCUCCGCUUAAACUCUCCUACUCUUAUUAAUUUCUUCUUCUUACUCGUUUUUAGUAGUAAUGUCCAAUUCAUCUUUUUCAUUGUCUUCAUCUUCUUCAAUUCCAAAAGGAGUAUGUUUAUGUGGGGUGAAAGCUGAAAUUAAGACCUCGUGGACACAACUCAACACUGGUCGGAGAUUUUUUUGCUGCAAAACUUCAAAGGUAUUCAUCUUUUGCUGCUUCAUUGGACGAAAUGCAAUUACUUCGAUUAGUGGAUGCAAUUUUUAAGUUUAAUUUUUUCUUUAAACCUGUAGGCGAGAGGUAGAUGCAAUUACUUUAAUUGGUAUGAUUAUGAAAUGCCUCCUCAAGCAAAGAGGGUGAUGUGGGGUUUAUUGAAAAAAGUCAAAUCAUUUGAAAAAAAGAGGAAUCGAUGAAGAAAAUUUAAAGUGAUAUGUGUUGGGGCGAUAGUGAUUUUGGCUACAUAGAAUUUCUUCAAGAAAUGUUCUUAGAUUUUGACAAAUAUUGGCUUAGGUUUCUUAUAUAUGGGACUGUUUUGAUUUGACUAAUUCUGAAAUAUAUUAGUUGUAUUGGGACUGUUUUGCUUUGGCUGUCCUGUUGUAGUGGGAUUAUUGUGUAUGAAACAAUUAAGAAGGAAUGAAGAUAAGUUGUGAGAUGUUACUCUCUUACUAUGUUUUGAUUUUUCUUUACUGUUGUAAUUGGUUUAGUUAGAUUACUGUACUCUAUUUUUUUAAAAGUUCAAAUGAUUCAUUUAAAUGAUUCAAAGCUGUCACAUAUUUCACACAAAAGGAACCACCAUUCAAUAAUUAUCUAAAGCACAAGAGCACAAGUGCAACUGAUCGACAUUUUAAACACAAUAAUCUACCAUUUAACUGCUCAAAAUGAGCUCCAACCAUACAUUAAGUGUUUAUCAAGAACUAAUCUAAACAGACCACAAAAAAUAGUUCAGAAUCUUCAAAGCCCCCAACAAAAUACCAAAGUAGCCAUACAACUAAUCACCAAAAUAUACAUUGUACUAAAAACACAAUUAAUUCAACAACUUUAUAUUCCUCCUGGUGCACUAGAACUUUCAAGUUAGCUUCUUUUUUGACUGACUCAUACUCUCCAAUUAAGAAGUUGUGACAACAUUCUUUCCCUUCCACUUCAUUCCUCGAGGCAUAUAACCAAUAUCAAUAUUUGUUUGAGUUACAUCUUUGUAAACACCACGAGUGGCAAUUGUUUCACCUCUAGUUCCAGGCUGCAUAAAAUAAAGUAAAAUUAGAUUUGUCAAAAGAUCAUUAAAAAUUACAUGAAUUGAAGUUGUAAUUCACACUUACAUUUAAUGUUUUACUGCAACUCAUUUGAUCAGUGUAGAUACCAAAUCCUACUGUCUUACACUUCUUUUGUCUUAUUGAUGAUGUUGAUGCUCCAAUGGUCCUUUUUUCCCCAAGUUGCUGAUCAGAUACACUUUCUUUUUCUCUACCUCUGCUAGUGCCUCUUCUAAAUCCUUUGCUUUUGCCAGCUCUCUUACCUUUGUCAGUGCUUGUACCUCUACCUCUACCUCUACCUCUACCUCUACCUCUUCCAGUUGGCUGUACUCUUAUAACUGCUGAGGUAUCAACACACAUAGAACUGUUGAAGCUUAGUUGCUGGCUGAAUCUUUGUGGCAUGCUAGAACUUGGUGGUUGGUUGAAGCUUGGUGGCCUGGCAGAGCUUGGUGGCUGGCUGAAGCUUGGUGGCUUGCUAGAGCUUAGUGGCUGGCUGAAGCUUGGUGGCCUGCUAGAACUUACUGCCUGGCUAGAACUUUCAGGUUAUCCCAUUCCAUCCUAACAAUAAAGGAUAUUAAAUAUAUAUUAUAAAUAUCAUAAUUUAAUUAUUGAAUUAAAAGAUAUAAGUGCAUUACCUGAGCUUUACAAAGAGUUCUGUUAUGACCAAUUUGAUGACAUUUGGAGCAAGAAAUUUUCAGUCCUUUCCUGGAUAGCUUCCCAUACUUCUUCUUAGGCUCAUUCUUCCCUUUUUUUCUAUUCUUUCCUGGUCUGCCAGGCAUUGGUCUAGGCUCAGGAGGAUCAAUCACUACGCCACUUGUGUUAGGCCACAUUUUCAUAUUAAGGUAUUGGCUGAAGAAAGUAGUCAUAAGCCUUCAAGAAUGUAUCUUUCUUAUACCAUUCUUCCACAUAAAAUUCAGGCUCUAUACCUUUAUGUUGAUAAGCCAAUACAGCAUGUUGACAUGGUAUGCCUCUCAAUUGCCAGCUUCUACAAGUGCAAGUCCUUGCCCUAAUAUCAACUAUAUGCCUAUAAGGACCAUCUAAAAUUUCAUACCCAAUCUGUCCAUUGAACCUAACUGUGCAAUUUCUAGCCAUAUCUUUGUUUUUUCAAGUACUAGCAAAGCCAUAGGAGAGAUGUCUGAAAUGCAGGUAUCAAUAAACUUCCUCAUUUCAAUAUUUCUAUCCAUUAUCUUGUGUUUAAUCUCCUUUAACAUACUGAUUAUAGAUUUAUGUCUACCAGCUAAAAUCCAUGAAUUAAAAGUCCCAUACAUAUUAUUCUCAACAAUGUCAUAUUUAGAAUGCUCCCUAAAAUAUGCCCUGCACUAUGAUUUUUUUUCAUAAUGUAAUAAGUCCUCACAAAUAUCCUUACCAAGUUGACUGAGUUUGCCCAUCUCAUCCAAAAACUUCACUUCAAAGCUGGAUUUAGCAUACCUCUAAAAUUGUUUUCUUUUUUCUUCUCCUCUCCAGAUUUGAUGCCAAUUGGACCAGAUGUGUCUUGCACACCACCUCAUUUCACAAUCUGGUAGCAACUCAAGUAUAGUAGGUACAAGAUCCUACAUUAGCAUAAAUACAAAAUCAAAACACAAAAUAUAUGAACAUGGAUUGUAUAGUAAAUAAAUAGAAGACAUCAAAAUUAAAGUUUAAAAAAUAGGAUAACCUUUUGCAUAUCUGACAUGACAGUCAGUCCAUAUCCAGUGCCUAAGUUCAAAUCUUGAAUCAAGUGGUUAAUGAAGAAGCUCCAGCUAUGUUUUGUCUCUUGAUCAACCACUGCCCAGGCUAUUGGAUACAUUUGAUUAUUUCCAUUUCUCCCAACUACAACUAACAAUUCACUCUUGCAAGAACCUUUCAAAAAACAACCAUCUAACUCAGUAAUUUUUCUGCACCCUGCCAGCCAGCCUCUCUUUAAUGCAUCAAAGCAUAAAUAAGAAUAAAUAAAUAAUUUUUUCCAGGUUGAGACUCUCUAUCUAUCCUCACCCAACAAGAACUGGCAAGAUUAGUAUGAUUUAUCAUAUCUGCAUAGUCACACAACCUUGAAAAUUCCAUCUUCCAAUCACCCAAGAAUUCUUUAAUGAUUCUAUGGUUUGCCCUGCUACAGACAGUUUUUUCCACAUACAAACCCAAUUUUUUUCUCACUAAUUCCUAAAUUUCCCACAUUUUUAUAUAAGGUUGUAAAGUUACUUCAUUCAUGAACUUACUUGCAAUAAACAUAGAUGUGCACAACUUGUUUUUUAUAGUAGUAGUACAUACAUGUACAUGAUAGUAGUGCUUGACAACAAAGUCACCUGAAUACUUAUCAAUACUAGCAAACAACAACCAUUUACAUUUCUUGUUCUCACACCUAACUCUAACUCUAUGUUUCUCAUUAGACUUAAGCAUCAAUCUAACUUUGUAUUCAACAACAUACUCAGCCACAGCCUUUCUAAAUUGCUUAGCAUUUUCAAAUAUCAUACCAAGCUCAAAUAUAGCCAUAACACAAUCAAGAUCAAAUCUUACCUUUUUACUUUUCUUUCUUGCUGGUAAAUCAACACCCCUGAUAGCUUCAGGUUCCAGUCCAUCAGCACUGUCAUCACUAUCAACUUCUGAGCUAUCUAUAUACUCCUCAUCUCCCCCUGAUCUUUCACUGUAUCUAGAAGCCUUAUUCCUUCCAUUAUCUUCAAAUCCCCUAUCAACACCUGUUGAUCCAAGUUUUAUUUCUUCAUUUUAGACAGGUUUCUUAUGUUUCACACAGUUUCUCCUUUAAUUUCUAAGAGUUCUUAAAUCUUCAUCAACCUCAGAAUCAUCAUCUUCUGGUAUAUUAAACUCUUGAGAAUCAGCACUACUAUCAAGAUCUGUUCCAGUCCCUUCUAGAUCUGAGAGUUCAUCUACACCAGAUUUUAUAUCUAUGUUGUCAGUUUGCGUAAGUUCCUCAUGUAACCCUUCAACAUUAAUAUCAUAAAUUGUUGAUAUGUUUUUACCCACAUUACUAUUUUCACCAACCACAUUACUACUUUGAUCAUCUACUGUACCACAAAGAAAAUCAGAUGGGACCCCAUCUUCUACCACUUCUAACUCAUCUAUAACAUGGUUCACAUACAAGUCUAAAAAGUCCCUAUCUUUUAGGUCUUCAACAAUACUUACCAAAGUCAAGUCAUUUUCUACUUCAAUAAAGACUUUCUUUUUAGGGUAUUUAAAGUAAAACCCACCAACAGUCAUAUACCCAAAUUCUUUAGUAUAAUAAAACAACUCGAAUAUAGAAGAGUGGUUCUUGUCCAUACUUACAUAUUCCACCUCACUUUCUUCUAUGUAGCGUGGACCAUAUUCUUCAUCAGAAACAAACUUGUCACCGUGGUGAAAAUGAGUUGUAAUAAUAAUAUUAGCCAUCAGAUUCCUGAAACAAAACCCUAAAAAUACCUGACAAGUUAUGAAUAGUAAAAACCUUAGCUUUUUUCAUAUAUUUCCAAACUACCAUUACUAACGUAAUAUACUAACAAAGAACUAAUAAACCAUUUACAACUACAAUACAUGGCAAAAAUGUGACAAUAUUAACAUUUAAAACAUACCUGAGUGCGAUUCAAACAUAAAACAACAAUAAUUCUCGAGAUCCAACUCCAGAUUCUUCGCAACCAGUAAAGAAAUGUUGAAAUCAAUGUCAAACUUGAACUAAUUACUCAAAAAUACUAUGUAACUUUUCAUUAUACAACAAACGAAGCAUAAAUUAGUAGUAUUAGGAGUGAAAUCACGAUUUUAGGAUUUUUGAUAGAGAGAUUUGGAGGUGGGUAUGAGGGAUUUGACGUCAUAAGGGGGAAAUGAAGUGGAAAUUAUAUUUGUGUAUUAACUAAAAGAAACGGUUAGGUGUAAAAUAUAAUUGGUCAAAAUUUACGCGUAGGCGACGACUACAUACAUGCGCUCAACACGUUAAAAAAGAAGGCUUUAAAAAGGUGUCACGCCAGAUAAUUGGGCUCAAUUAAAACCAUUUGUGAAGGGGUAAAGGGUCCAAUAGGCAUCUGUCUUAAUUAAGGUGCCUAUACGAAAAAAGUGAAAUAGUUAAGGGGCCUGUAUAUGUAUUUAACCUUUACCUUAUAUCGUAUAUUUAGGAGUAAACCAUCUAGUACACACACUCCAAUUUGAUCGAGAUUUUAUUAUUUUUUGAAUUAAAUUUCAUCAUAUUUUAAUUAUUAUUUUAAGUUAUUUUUUAUGUGGACUUAAUUUUAUGUAAUAAAGGUGUUACGUCAGCAUAAAAAGGUGACAAAAAUAUGUUGAGAUUGAGUUCAGGGUAAUAGGAUUCAUGUGAAGUUGGAGUGUGUUGUAGCAACUUUGGUCUUCGAGGGGGUACUGAAUGCUUAUCUUUGUUUUUGGCUUUUGGUGAGAUAUAUUUGACUUUUUUAAAAAAAUAUAAUUUAUACUCUUAAGUUUUAAAAAUUAUUAAAACUAUUCAUAACUUUGUAUUAUUAUUUUUUAAAAUUAAACGCUUAUAACAAUUUCAUAAAUCAAUAUAGGAGCUAUUUUAGUUUUCUCAAAUAUUUUUUUUUUAUAUGUUAGUAUGUAAGAAUUUUGUACAUAUUUUAGUGUAUUAAUUGCAUAUGAAAAUCGUAUUGAAAUAAGGAAUCUUAUAAGAAAUUAAUUUAUAUAUCUAUCUCAUUUACUAAAUGGUAUUUCUUAUCGGGGUCUCAAUGUAAGUAAUUCGUAUUAAAACUACAAUAAAAAAUAUUAUGUGAAUUUAUUUGAAACUAGGUUUAUACUCAAAACAAAUUCUAUAUGUGUAUUGCAUUUUAUUUAGUUUUUUCAACCAAUUUAAAGUCAUGUUCUAUAUCAAUAUCAUAUACAAAAUAAUUUUUAAUUUGGAUUUUGGAUAUAUGAAGUUGGUAUGUAAAAUAAUAUACAAGAAUGGUGCUUAGUUAUAAAUGUCUUUAGUGAAUGAAAUGAUAUUGAAAUAGCCAUCAAAGAUCUGAAUAAUUCUUUUUGGAUGUUGCAAUCAAAAUAUGUAAAUUUAUAUUUUAAUAAUUUUUUUUGACGAUUGUGCUAAAAAAUUUGAAUAAUAUUGGGUUUCACACUGAAUUUGAUUUUUGAUUUUUGGAGGAAAAAGAAGAAAUGUGUAAAUCUCUAUUUUAAUAAAUUUUUUCGACGAUUAAGAUAAAAAAAAUUAGGGGUUAUUGAAGGAAAAAAACCAUUACAUGCAGUCACCAAGUUUUUCAAUCUGAUUAGAAUGAAAUCUUUACGGACUUCAACUUAUCACUGACAAAAAUAGAAUAACCUACAUCCACACAUACAUACCAGUUACAUUUACAGAUACAUGCAGUAAAAAAAGAAAUAGAACAAACAAGGCUUUUGGUUUAUGGCACAAAGAAAUAAUAGGCAUAUUAGAGGAGGCCAAAGGUAUUAGACACCAAAAAAUCAUUUUUAUUUUUAAUGGUUCAUUCUUUGCUGGAGAAUUUGAAACUAGGGUAUACUAUAUUAGAGACAUUAUGUGUUAGAUUUGACUUAGCUUCUGAGAAAAGGUGACUAAGUUGUCGCUCCAAGAUCAGUUGAAAGUUGAUUCAAGUAUAACUACUUAAUUUAUGACAGUAAAAAAAAUUGUUAGGAAUCAAUGAGACUUAGUAAUAAUAUAUGUCAUUUUUGGAGAAAAAGAAUAUUUUGGAGAAAAAGAAGCCGCUUUUGGAGAAGAAAAAUAUUUUUGCGAGAAAUUAGGAGUGAUUGACAUCCUUUAGUAACUGACAUCUAUUUUAAAGAGUAUAUUUUUUUAACAAAAAAAAGAAAACACAUUUUUGAAGAAUUUUAUUAUCUUAGAAAGUCCUAUUAAUUUUUUUUCUAAAAUUUAAAAGUUGUUAUUAGUUACAAUCUAAGAAGUAUUACUAUGACUUGCAAUAUACAAUCUAAGGAUGUAUAUUUAGACCUUUUCUCCUUUUAUUAUAGAAACACAUAUUGUAAGACCCUUAAAUUUUUAAUGAUUUUAUUUUUGACCCUUCCGCGUUUGUAAUGUUAAUUUUUGACUUGAUUUGCAUUUGGAGAUGUUAAAAGGGUAAUUGAAAAAGUUUCAAAAUUUUCGAAGGGGGUUCGGGGCUAUUUUAAAACUCCGAGAUAGUGUGCCUUCACGAUAUCACUGUGCUAGGGUGGUUAGCCUCUGCGAUAUCGGCCUGACACGGAGGAUACCUCCGUAAUAAGGUUGUGCCACGCUAAGGUAUAAAUUUCGUCCAGUUUUAUUUUUUUCCACUUGUAGUGAGGGAAAUUGGUCUUUUUACCCCUUUCACGACUUAUAAACAUAAAAGUGAUCCUUUUUAUUUAGUUUUAAAAGAUCAAACUAUAUUUUAUUAAUCUUUAACUCUCCAUCCAAACAAGCUCAUGGGUUUCAUAGAGAAUUCAUCAUUCGGGCUCCAAACUUCAAAUUGACUUUAAAAUCUUGUGUAUCUCAGACAUGUUUCUCUUUUCUAAACAUUAAUUUUACAUUUUGGCAUGAAUUAAAAGGAUUUUCAUGUGAUUUAAAUUGUGGAUUUUGAAAUUGAGUUGAGGCGUUAUUGUUGUUAUUGAUUGAAUUACCUGUCUCAUGUUUUGAAUUAAUUUUUCAUACUUUAAAUUAAUAUUUUUGGGAUUGAAUUGGUAUAUUAUUUAAAUGGUUGGAAUGAGGGAUACGAGUUUCCCCAAAUUAGAUGAAUUUUAACUUGAAAUUGCAUGAACCUCAACCUACUUUCUAAAUUUGAUUUUAUUAUGGAUAAUUACAUGAUUUAACUUGUUGUUGAACCCAAUGCAUUUCAUUAAUGGAUAAAUGGAUAUAAAAAUGGAUUUGGAUAGCCUUGGUGGCCAUGAUUUGGAUUUUGAUAAAACUUGAGAGUCCAAUUUGAUUGCAUGAAUUGAUUUGGCAUAUUUUAUUUAACUUGUAAGCAUAUUGGUAUGACGAUACCAAGUGUUAAAUGCCUGAAUGAGUGGCUCUCGGGUUAAUGGUUUGAAUUAUGUGCAAAUUAUUUUAAUUUGGGCUUAAGAUGGACUGUGUAGCUUGUCGUGAAAGUAGAGGUCCCGGAGGAAAUGAUACUAGAAAUUGUGUUUGCCGACAUGCGGGUCUAUAUGACCAUAUGCAUGGUUCACACACACACACACUAUAUAUAUAUUAGGAAUGGUUGAAGCCUCAGUGGCUUUGUCCCUUCCUCGAUUCAUAUGGCUACACGCACUAGGGCCCUUUCAGCAGGGGGAGAUGAACCCAUAUAGCCCAUGGGUGCCCUUAGGACAAAUAGAGCUAAACAAUCCAGGUUAAUGGUUUUAAAAAUCUCAUGUUCAUGACCUUUAUCCUAUUUCGGUAUCUUAUAUAUGUAUAUAUGAAAGUGUACAUGUAGUUUUGACUGAUUUUAGAUAUGGCAUUAUUUUAUCACCUUCCUUGAGUUACAUGCUAGUAUUUAUCCCACUGACUGUCUUAGGACACUACAUCAUUUCAUGAUGUAGGAUUUGAAGACACUUCUAUUGCUCUUGUGCAGUGUUAGGUGGCUUAGCAUGAUUAUUGAGCUGCUGUGAAAUGGUGAGCCUCUAUCCUUCGGAAGGCCUUAUCAUUUCAUUAUUAUUUCAUUAUUGACUCGGUACUUUUGGAUUUAUUUUUAUCAUAGUCGGGGGUAUUUCCCGACUUAGUUGCUAUUUUGGUCUUAGUGGUUAUUGUGGAUAAAUGUGAGUGGGUUUAUUAUUGGGCUCCUAGUUUCAUUUGAGUUAUCUAUUAUCUUCUAAUUACUAUCUUAAUUGGCUUUCACUUAUGGUUAUUGUUAUGCUCAUAAGGUUAGGCGAUGGGGGUGGCCUCUAAUCCACGGUGGGCUUGAGAUAUCCAUCACAGCUAGGCCUUGGCUUGGGUCAUGACAAGCUUGGUGUUAGAGUACGAUUUAGAGUCGUUGGGUGUCUAUAAAAUCAUGUCGAGUAGAGUCCUUUUUAUGACUGUGUAGCUCGCCAUACUUAUAAGGAGAAGGCUACGAGGCAUUUAGGAAUGUUUUUCUUUCUUGUGUUCUAUUUUGAGCUAUAAAGUCUAGUGUUAUGAAAUUUCUCUUACUCCUUUCUCGCUUUUCAGAUCAUGCCUCACAGAAGAUAUGAUGUUUGUAGAAACUCUGUUGGGAACUAUGUCCUACCUGAGGAUAAUGUGGAGGAGACUUGCCUUAUUUAUGGAGUUUAGACUCAGUUUAGAGUCCCUGCUCCUGAUUGUGCCACUCCACGUGGAGUUCUGCCUAUCCCCACUAGUCCUCGGGUUUCUCAUGCUGGGGACACUUAUGCUCAGUUAACUUAGGGAGACAUUUCUGGUUUGGAGUUUUAUUGGUCUAUUCAUUCGCUUACUCAGUUGGUGACAUAUCAGUCUCAUCAGUCAGAUUGUGUUGGUUCAGUUGUUCCAUCUGAGGUCACUCGGGUUGGCCAGUUUAUGUAGUUGAAUGCCCCAACCUUUACAGGCCUAAGGUUGAGGAGGAUCUGCAGGAGUUCAUUGAUGAGAUGGCGAAGAUUUUUAGGGUGAUGUAUGCUACUGAUGUAAGGGGUGUAGAGUUUCUUGCUUAUCAGUUAAAAGAUAUAUCUUAUUAGUGGUAUGGGAAGUGGAAAGAUAUGAGGGGUGAUAAUGCUGAGUAGGCAGUGUGGGAUAACUUUUCUAGUGCCUUUCUUGAUUAUUUCUUUCUUCAGGAGUUGAGGGAAGUUAAUGAUAAGGUGUUUGUUAACCUGAAGUAGGAUAAGAUGAGUGUGAUGGGGUAUGCAUUAAAAUUUCAGCAGUUGUCUCGUUAUGCUCCAAAGUUUAUGUCUAGUAUGAGAUCCAAGAUGAGGAAGUUUGCUUCUGGGUUAUCUCGUGACUUGGUAUUGAAGUGUAAGGCUAUAAUAUUGAAUAAUGAUAUAGACAUCUCUAGACUUGUGGUUUAUAUACAACAGGUUGAAGAUGAAAACAAAAAAUAGGCGGAGAUAGAGAGAGGCAAAACAAGAAGUUAGGUAUUCAAAGUAGGGCGAGGGUCAGCAAAAUAGUGCGAGAGAUGGUAGACAGUGGACCAAGAAGAAAAAUUGGGGAAAUUUGUAUUCAUCUGCUAGUGCUCCUUAUCCUAAGCCUUCGGGUGAUCAUUAUUUUCAGGCUAACAGCGGUUCUAAGGCAUAGGGUUCCCAGUCUCAGGCUAGUGGAGCUCGGUCAGCCCUACCUUAUUAUCCUUGUUAUUUUUGUGGGCAACUUUAUCAUGGUUAUUGUGAGACUGGGAGAAAUCAGUGUUAUAAUAUGGUCAGCCUGGGCACUUGCAGCGAGAUUGUCCAUCAACCAAGGUUGCCACUAGAGCUAAUAAAGUUUAGGUCACCUUAUAUUCUACCCCUUCCCAAAGGGCGCUAUUUCUGGUAUCGGCAUUAGCCGAAAUCGUCUUUAUGCACUUGGUACUCGCCAAGAAUUUGAGGCAUCUCCAGAUGUUGUUACUGGUAUAUUAUAACUCUUUUCCCGUGAUGUUUAUUAUUUUCUUGAUUCGGGUUCUACUCUAUCUUAUAUGACCUCUUAUGUGACUGUGCAUUUUGGUUUUGGUCUUGAAAGUAUUUUUGACCCCUUUUCUGUUUCUACUCCUAUGGAUGAUUCUAUAGUUUCUAAAAAAAUCUAUAGGGAUUGUGUGGUGUUUAUCUUUCAUAGGGAGACAUUGGUGGAUUUGAUAGAGUUGGAUAUGAUAGAUUUUGAUGUUAUCUUAGGGAUGGAUUGGCUUCACUCGUGCUAUGCUUUUCUGGAUGGUAGGACCCGAAAGGUUAGUUUCUAAUUCCAUAACAAACUGGUAAUUGAACGUGAGGGAAGUUUCUUAGUACCCAAAGAGAGAUUUAUUUCUUAUCUUAGAGCCCAAAAAUUAAUUUCUAAAGGGUGUCUAUAUCAUCUAGUUUGGGUUAAGGAUUCUAUCCUAAAACUCAUCCUUUGCAAAAUGUCCCUGUGGUUAAUGAAUUUCCUAAAGUCUUUCCCGAUGAUCUUUUUGGAAUUCCUCCCGAUAGGUAAAUAGAUUUUGGGAUUAAUCUUCUACCAAAUACUCAUCCUAUUUAUAUUCCUCCUUAUAUAAAAACCCCGACUCAAUUAAAAGAGCUAAAGGAGCAACUAAAAGAUCUUUUUUAUAAAGGUUCCUUCGUCCUAGUAUUUCUCCAUGGGGUGCUCUUGUGCUUUUAAUGCAAAAGAAAAGAUAGGUCCCUUUAGAUAUGCAUAGAUUAUCAUCAGUUGAAUAAGGUAACAAUAAAAAAUAAGUACCCUCUUCCUAGGAUUGAUGACCACUUUGAUCAUUUUCAGGAUGCUAGAUGUUUCUCUAAGAUUGAUCUUCAUUUGGGCUAUUAUCAGUUGAAAAAUAGGGAGGUUGACAUUCCCAAGACUGUUUUCCAAACCCGAUAUGGUCACUAUGAGUUUUUGGUAAUGUCAUUUGGAUUGACUAAUGCUUCGGCUACUUUAUGGAUCUUAUGAAUAAGGUUUUUAAGCAGUUUUAGACUUAUUUAUUAUAGUUUUUAUUGAUGACAUCUUGGUGUACUCUAAGAGUGAGGAGAAUCAUGUCAAUCACCUCCAAAUUAUGUUGCAGAAUCUUAAAAACCAGAAUUUAUAUGUUAAAUUUUCUAAGUAUGAGUCUUGGUUGAAUAUUGUGACUUUUCUUGGGAAUGUUGUUUCUAAUGAAGGGAUCAAGGUGGAUCCACAAAAAGUUGAGACAGUUACGAAAUAGCCUAGACCCACCACUCCAGUCGACAUUAGGACCUUCUUAGGUUUGACUGGGAAUUAUCGAAGGUUUGUAGAGAGUUUUGCUUCUAAUAUUGUUCUAUUAAUGAAGUUGACUCAGAAAAAUGUUAAGCUCUUAUGGUCCAAUACUUGUGAGGGUAGUUUUGAGAAGUUGAAGGUUAACUUUUGCGCCAGUUUUAACCUUGCCUGAGGGUACUAAUAGUUUUGUGGUGUUUUGUGAUGCGUUCCGCGUGGUACUAGGUUGUGUGUUGAAGCAACAUGGUAAGGUUGUAGCCUAUGCUUCUAGACAACUUAAGGUUCAUGAAAGAAAUUAUCUGACUCAUGAUUUAGAGUUGCUGGUUGUGGUCUUUACCUUAAAGAUUUGGUGCCAUUAUAUGUAUGGGGUGCAUAUGGAUAUCAAUUCAGAUUAUAAGAGCUUGCAGUAUGUGUUUACUUAGAAGGAAGUGAAUCUUAGGCAGAGACGGUGGCUCGAAUUGCUUAAAGAUUAUGACAUGAGCUUGCACUACCAUCCAGGUAAAGCUAAUAUUAUUGCUGAUGCUCUUAGUAGGUUUUUCAUGGGGAGCUUGUCUCAUAUUUAUAAGGA